CGCCGGCCAAGGCCAGGUAGGCCAGGUCAGUUGGCGGGUCUGAUGCCGGUGCCGGGGACCAAAGAGACAAGGCUGUUAGCCGAAUCCGAGGGAAACUGCGGCGUGGCCCCCUCGGAACCUGCCAGCUCAGCAGCCACCGUCCCUGGGACUUGUAGUCCUCGGCUCCUCGGGACGCCGUCGUUGAGUUCCGCCAAGACGCGAACGGGAACUACAUUUCCCACAAGGCCGGGAGAAGUUGGGGUAACCGAGAAAGCGCCCCGGCUGGAUGCGCCUUCCAGGUGCGAUGGGGCCGCUUCCAGGAGCGAGCGGCCGUGCGAGGCCCCGCGCGUUCUCCCUCGUGAGGCGGCCCGCGGGUUAAAGGAACCGCGAGCCGGGGAGCUGAGACUAUGAGCAGUUCGGUGGCGGGGCCGGACUGCUGCGGAGGCCUCGGCAAUAUUGAUUUUAGGCAGGUACUGUCCUAACCCGGCGGCCACGAACCCCCGCCGAAGAACUGGCAAGGCCUGCGGAGUGCGGGCGGGCGCCGCCUCCAACGCUUGCUGGGCGGGGCCACGCUGUUACCAGACAACGGGGGCGGGACGUGUUGGGCGUGGCAGCUUGAUCCCAGAAAGUUGGCUGGUGGGCGGGCACGUGUGUGCGUGAGUGUACGAGUGUGCCAGUUGUGCAUCAGCCCCAGAUUUCGUGUCAGAGGGUGGGGAGUUCCGGAGGUUGUGUGUAUGCAAGGAUGUCUCUGAGAUUAUGUAAAUCUUUGGAAUUGUAGGGGCAGAGUUACUCUGAGUGUGUGCCUGGGAGUGCAUGCAUGACUGAGGCAGUAUCAACGAGUGUGUAACUGUGAAGGAGGCUGAGCCUGUGUGUCUGGGGGCAUGCUGUGUGGAUGGCGAGAGCAUGUGGAUAUUUGGGAACCGUGAGGAUCCCUGCUCCCCUUCCAUCUCGGCAGCCACCAAGAAGUGUUUGGAAUCCUGACCCCUCCAAGCACUGGCCCUGAAGGGACUGCAGAGCAAUUCCUUCCUGGAAGGGGGGGGGGAGUGUUGUAUUGGGAUGAGGAUGGGGGAAUGGGUCCUGGAGCCUGGGGACUUGCUUGCCCCUCUGCAAAGUCAUGGCCAGAGAGUUUGCCUUUUCUGCCGUCUUUCCAAGCUCCUGGUUCAAUGGAUUUUGCUCUCCUGCAAAAUCUUUGCUUCCUAUUAGAUUGUUCAUUCACUUUUUUUUUUUUAACCAACCACUCCUUUUUUUGUUGUUAAAUGUUGAUGGAUCUUUAUUUUAUUCAUUUAGUUAUAUGUGGUGCUGAGACUCAACCAGUGCCUUGCACUUGCUAGGCAAGCGCUCUAGCACAGAGCCACAACCCUAACCAACUCUUUAUGGUUAUCUUCCAACUCUUUAUGGAAGCUGUAAGAUCUUAUCUAGUUUAUUUGCUCCCUUCCUGCAUUCCUCACCUGUGUUCUUAUUCAUUCCUUCACUGAUACAGCUAGCAUUUCUUGAGUGUCUUGUUCUAGGACAGCAAGGACAGGUUUUUAGGCCUGGAAACAAAGAACUGUUCUCUGAAGGAGAUAAAACUGGUCAAUGGAGAGAGCACCUGGUGGAGAGUCCCUAUCUGUAGUGAGGUGAUUGGGAUCCCAGCAGGAGUGAUAAACCAGUGGGGUAGGAUUUCCUGCUGGAGGUUAGCAGGUGCACAGGCCUUGAGGGAAUAAGAGGAAAGCUGGUUGUUGGCCCUGAGGGUGUUCAGGACAGUUGAUGUGGACAGGAAAGGAGAGCAAUAGAAGACAGGGAGAAGACGAGUUUUCUUGUUUUAGUAAAUUUGUCAUUUAAGCAUAAUAUCCAGGUGGGUGAGUGGCAGGUUGUAUGUGUACACCUUCUGUAUCUUCACGAGGUGAACCUAUUUAUUGUGACCACCCAGAGCAAGAUAGGUCAUCACCAGCCCCAGGAAGUACCCUCAGGAUCCUCCCUGGGGAAGACUGAUGUCAUGUUUGAUGGAAUCCUUAAGAGUCUUCUACCAUCAAUGGCCAUUAGAGACUCACAGGGCUGUAAUUCAUCUUUCUUCCUAUUGCAAUGCUGGGGAUCAGUUCCAGGGCCUUGCACAUGUUGGGCAAGUGCUCUACCGCUGAACUACAUCCCCAGCCUCUAUGAUUCGUGUUUUCUACCCUAAUACAUCACAGAUAGAAAGGGCACUGGCUGGAAAGGGGGCUAUCAUCUUCAGGGUGGAAUGCUAGAUGGUGGUUGCUGGCCUGUGGUGGGGGAGUGGAAGCCAAGCCUGUGUUGUAGACCUGGAAAGGCCAGAGGUGCAGGGGUAGGUGGUGACGAUUACCUGGCGUGUGUGAGGAGGGCUUUUCUGCCCCUUUUCCUUCCCCUCCAGAGGGGAAGGCUGACAGGGCUGUGUGGCUGGAGACUGGGCGCAUUAGGGGGACAGGUCAGGGUGACCCUCGUUGGCUAACAUUCUGUUUUUUCCACCGCUGCGCUUUUGGUUCACUUAAGCUUCCUGUUGCCAAGGGAUUUUUUUUUCUUAAAGAAACAGCAACAACUUAUAUAACAUUAUGUAUGUGUUCUGUGGUUGCUUUCCUUCAAUCAUAGUCUCUGUGUUUAAAAUAUGCCAGUUCCUGGCCUGAGAAGACUUUCAAGAAUUUUCUUAACCCUGUGAGCAUCUGAGCUGUAGGUUCUCAGUGCUGUCAAUGGAAACAUCAUGUGUUCCAUAUAUCAUGUAAACUUUGGGGCAGGGGUUAGCUAGCUCAGUGGAAGAGCCCUGGCUUAGCAUGAAUGAGGUCUGCCCUGGGUUUGAUCCCCAGUACUGCAAAACAACAACAACGUUCUUUUUUAAAGCAGCCACGUUAUGUAAAAAGAAAUAGAAAAAAAAUAAUUUUACCAAGAUACAGUCUACCUCCUGGAUCUGUAGUUUCUGCAUUCAAGGAUUCUACCAACCACUGAUUAAAAAGUAAAAAUCUCAUCUGCAUUAAACACAUACAGACUUCUUUCUUGUCAUGAUUCCCUAAACAAUCUACAUAACUAACUAAAUGGCAUUUAAUUGUGUUAGGUUUUAUAAGUCAUCUAGUGAUGAUGAUGUAAAGUAUGUGGGACGAUGCUUGUAGGUUACAUUACACUAUAUAUAAGGGACUUGAGCAUCUGCAUAUUUGGAUGGCUUUAGUGAUGCUGGAACCAAUUUUCUGUCAAUAUUGAGGGACAGCUGUAUUUUACUGCUGUUAAAAUAUAUAUGUUUCAUCAUGUGGUACUAUAAGCACUCCAUAGUCACAUGUAGCUGAUGGCCACUACACUAGUGCACAGUGCACCUGUUUGGGAACUUCUAUCCCUUAACCAGGUGUCAGCUGGCAUUGUAAUCUUGGUUUUGCAAUUAAUUCAUCAUUAAUUAAUUAUCAGUAUAAAGAUGGACCCCAUCGCCUCACACAUUCUAGGCAAGUGCUCUACUUACUGAGCCACUCUCCCAGCCCUUGGUUUGUUUUUAAUGUAAGAAAGUCACCCAUUGGAGUGAGGAGUGUGUCUACUGCAGACUCAUUGACUGAGGCCUUUUUUAAAAAAAAUAUUUUUGUUUUAGUUGUAGUUGGACAAAAUACCUUAUUUUAUUUUAUUUAUUUUUUUAAUAUUUAUUUUUUAGGUGUAGAUGGACAAACACAAUGCCUUUAUUUUUAUGUGGUGCUGAGGAUCGAACCCGGGACCUGGGACCCGCCCAUGCUAGGCGAGCACUCUACCACUGAGCCACAAUCCCAGCCCCCUUUAUUUUAUUUUUAUGUGGUGCUGAGGAUCAAACCCAGCGCCCCGCAUGUGCUAGGGGAGCACUCUACCACUGAGCCCCAGCCCCAGCCCCAGCCCUAGCCCUGAGGGCCUUCUUUUUGCCCUCCCUGCUCUGAGAUCCCAGAGCCUGCAUUUCAACCUGUCAGCUACAUGCAGCAAGCUGGCCCGCAGGUAGCUGGGAGGAAGACCUGCCCAUUUGUUGUCCACAAGCAAGGGCACCUCUAGGACUUAGAGGAUGGCCCCAGAGGGGAAUGCAGGUGCUGGCUUCCUGGGGUACCGAGGCUGGCAGAGCACCCUGAGCUUCUCAGAGCCAGGGCAUGGUCCAGGUGGUCCUGUUUCAGGUUUAGCCAUCAGGGCUCCUCUGCCCAUGGGAGCAGGUGGAUGAUGAUGUCAUGAACUCAGGUGUCACAAAGUGCACUUUAAUUUCUUGAUCUGUUUGAUGCCGGUAGGAACAGUGCUACAGCAAAGUCCAAAAUGAGAUAAAGGGUCUGGAGAAGCAUUAUAAAUUAUAAAGUGCAGCACGAUUUGAGGGUGGUCUUCAGAAGGCAAAGGCCUUGAAUGCAGGGAGUUGAGAGACCCCGCCACCUGCACAGCCCCCCUUUGCAUUAGGCUCAGUUGGGUGCACCACUGGAGACCAAUCCCUUUGGCAGAUACGGGGCGUCUUGACUACAGUGUCAGCCAGCUUCCCGUCAUUGUGACAAAAUACCCGAAAUAAUCAAUUUACAAGGAUCUUGGCUCACAGGGUCAGAGUUCAGUUGAUGGUUGCUUGUCCCCGUCGCCUUGGACCUGGAGUAGCACAGUACCUCAAUGUGGUAGCCCGUGGCAGAGGAGGCCCACUUUCUUCAUUAAGGCCAGGAAGCAAGGACAGACAGGAGGGUCUGGAUCCCCAUGUUCCCUUCAAGGCACAAUCCUAGGGACUUGAUUCCCUUCCACUAGACCCCACUUCCCAAAAGUUCCAUCACCUCCCAAUAAUGCUGUAGGCUGGUGACCUGGCCUUCCUUCAUGGGCCAUUGAAAGUCCUCUCAAGGAAAGAUGUUUGCCUGUUACACAGUUGUUUAAAAAAUCUUUUGCUUUUAUCACUUUAGUUAAAAUUAUAUUAGAUGGCUUGUUUUGUGGUAUUUCCAAGGACAUACAGUUUGCCUUUACACAUAUACACACCUGCUGAUUCUUUGAAUUGGUCAAGACAGACCAGGGUUGAAGCUUUCCUUUGCUCUUUGGAGUUGGGCAAGUCACCUGAAGUUAAACUCUCGGUGACUCCUGUAUCCCCUGCUGCUGUUGAGAUGGUGAUAUGGUUUUUCAUCAUUAGGCUGUUCACAUGGGGAAUCCAAUGGAUGUUUUGGGUAUUGGACUAGCUCUGAAUUCCUGGGGUGACCCCCACGGGGUCCUGCCAUGUUAUCCUUCGAGUAUCAGUCGCAGUUUUCUUGUAAUGUCAUUAUCUGGUUUUGGUGUUAGGGUAAUGCUGGCCUCAUCAAGCAAAUGGGGAAGUGUUCGCUCCUCUUCCAUAUUCUGGAAGAGAUUGUUGGAAUUGCUAUUAUUUCUUCCUAAAAUGUUCAGUAGAAUUCACCCAGUGAAACCAUUGGUGCUUGAAACCAUUGGGGCCUGGCACAUUUUUGGUGUGGGUGUGUCAAGGUUUUAAAGGAUGAAUUCAGUUCCUUUCAUAGAUGGAGGGCUAUUUCUUCUUGAAAGAAUCUUGGUAGUUGAUGUCUUUCAAGGAUUGGUUCAUUUCAUCUUUAUCUGCAUUAUUGAGUUUAUGGGUGUAAAGUUGUUGAUAAUUUUCUCUUAUCAUUUUCAUAUUUAUGAGGUCAAUAGGGAGGCUCCUUUUGAUUUCUGAUUUGGUAAUUUAUGUCUUCUCUUUCUUUUGAUCAGUCUGCCUAGAGGUUUACUGAUUUUACUGAAAAAAAAAUCCAAAAAAACCCCCAAAACCUCCCUCCCUAAAAGACCCAGCUCUGAGUUUGACAUUUUUUCCCCCUGUAUUCUAUUUUUUCAGUUGGAUUGGUAUUUGCUCUUCUCUUUUUUAUUUUUCUGGAUUUAACUUACUUCUCUAUCUCUAGUUUCUUUUCUUUUCUUUUUUUUUUUUUUUGUACCAGAGAUUGAACUCAGGGGCACUUGGCCACUGAGCUACAUCCCCAGCCCUAUUUUGUAUUUUAUUUAGAGACAGGGUCUCACUGAGUUGCUUAGUGCCUCGCUUUUGCUGAGGCUGGCUUUGAACUCGGGAUCCUCCUGCCUCAGCCUCGUGAGCUGCUGGGAUUACAGGUCUGUGCCACUGCGCCACUCUCUAAUUUCUUAGGGGCAAAGUUCACAUUGCAGAUUUGGGAUAUUUCUUUACUAAUAUAAGCUGUUCCCUCUCCACCUGGCUGGAGCUGCAGCCCGUGGUUUCUGAUACAUUGCAUUUUCAUUCAGAUCAAAAAUUAUAAAACCGUCCUUUGAAACUUCCUGUUGGCCUGUGUAUGUACUCUUUAACAGAUAUCUUUGUGUAACCGGUUUCUCAUUUAAUUCUGUUGUGGUUGGAGAGCUUCCUUUGUAUUCUUUCUAUUCUUUUAAAUUUAAGAUGUGCUUUGUGACCAAGACCCAAUGUCUGUCUUGGUGAAUGUCCCACGUGUCCUUGAGAAGCACAUGCAAUUGCUGUAUUGUGGAGUAUACCAUCAAGGUGGAAUUAAUCUAGAGGCAUUGUUCUUGUCUAUUUUCUGUCUACUUAUUUUAUCCAUCAUUGAGAGAGGAGUGUUGGUCCUCAACUAAAAUUAUGAGAUCUGUCUAUUUCACCUGCUAAUGCUGUUAAAUUUUUAACUUUAAAAAAAUUUUUUUUGAAGGUGGUGGGGUCUGGCUGUGUUGUCCAGGUUGGCCUUGAACUCCAGGGUUCAAGUGAUUCUCCUGCUGUCUGUUUAGGCUUCACCUACUUUAAUCUGAAAAGUAGGCAAACCUCCCUGGCUCACGUGGGACACAUAGUGGUAAUAGCUCACAUCAAUCAAGCUUGAAUGUGCCAUGCCAUAUACUUUCCUCGUGUUGUCUGUCUGAUCUCCUUGACAGUCUCAUGAUGAAGGUUCUGCUAUCAUUUCCACGUCAGAUAGGAACCAAAGCUCAUGAGGUUUGCCCAGGGUUGCCUGCCGGGGUGCUCUAUUUCCUGUCCAUCUGUCCUGAGCCUCGCUGAAGCCCCUUGCUGGGGUUGGCAUACUGUUAACUUCCCAGUGAAGGCUGCUGGCUUUUUGUUGUGGUCUCCAACCUGUAGUUGGGUAACUGUAUGCAGUACCACCAACCUGCUAGUUUCUGUCCUGGGCCCUGGAAGGUACAUUACGGAAAAGGGGCCCCAAGCUCACAAUGCAGGAGAGGAGCUGAGAAGAGGUAGAGGAGAUCAGGUCCCUCCUGGUUCCUACACCAGGAAAGGAACCCAUCUGGACCCUUGAUAAGGUGAUAAGGGCAUGAACCAACAGCGCCUGGCCCAGGACAUGCUUGAUGAAUGAAGAAUGACUUUACCAAUCAAUCAGUAUCUCCACCUUCCUGAAAGGAGUUAUGGAUUUGUGGGGUUGGGUGCAUCUGCAUCCAUUUCAGAUUUUUUGUUGCUGUUGCUUUUCAUUUUUUGUGGGGCUCGGGAUCAAACCAUCAAUGCCGCAGGGCCCACCAGGACUGCAAAAUUGUGCCUGAGGAGUCUCAGCCUCUUCUGCCUUUCCGUGCUGGGCCAGGCUGUGUCACUCACUUUCACCCACAGGCCUAAAACAUUUUUUCUUUGAAUUUAAGGUGGUGUUGGCCAUUCUUUUUGUUUUCUUUUAUGGUGGGACUCAGGAACACCUCAAAGCGAUGGUUUUUCCCAGAACUAUCCGCAGCUGACUGGUACUGUUGGAGAUCGCUGUCACACUUUGACCUUCUCCCAAGCUGACCUAAACCUCCCCUGUUGUGAUGGUCUUUGCCAUCCAGAGCUUGCUUGCUCUCAAAUUCCAGCCUUGCAUGGACAUGUGUUGGCUCUGCUUUAGGAUGUGUGUCUUUUCAGAGGGUCCCCCUAGAAAGCGAGGAAGGUGACAUGUGUGUUAAGGUGAAACAAACAGAUGAAGGGAACAGACUGACCUUGGCACCAUAGCACCCUCAGGCAUCCAGCACUUUCUCACCUGCUCUUGCCUCUUCCAGAACAUGAUCCUGGGUGGCCAGUCUCAUCACCCCGUUUCACUCUAGGGAAACCUGGGCUCAUAUUGACAAUGGGUGGUCCCUCUGGGGAACGGGGAUGGGUGGAGCCCUGCUCCCCGCCCAGACUGUAGGUGCCAGGACCGAGUCCUUCCUCAGCCAGGUUGGUGGCCCCCAGUGCAGAGAAAAGGGUCUGGGUGUUGACUUCAGACCAGACAUCGUCCCCCACUCCUACCAGGUGUAGGCCUGGAGAAAGACUCUGGCACGGUCUCAGGUCUGUGCCAGGCAUGGGACUUGAACCUAAGGCUGCCCAAUAAACAUGGCCUGAGUCUGCUGACAGCCAGUGAUGUGACAUGACCUGACGUGAUGAUGGAAGAGGUACUCCUGCAGCCUGAGGAGAGGCAGGAGAGGCUGUGACUCUACAGGCACGUUUUGCAGUAUGGAUUGGUCCUGUUUGAGGCCCCUGUCCCCUUUCUGGGCAGUCCCCACCUUCCUCCUGUCCUUUGAUGUAUAUGGCACAUGCAACAAAGUGGUCAGUUGUUUGCUUGCAUGAGAUCGAUGUGACUUUGACUCUCCUGGGCCCCUGCUGUUUGUUUGGAUGUCACAAUGUGGCUUGUACCUCAGGUGCUGUUGACCCACUGCAAAUAAUUCCCUGACAGCAGGACAUUGCUCGGAAGAGUCCCCAAGGGCCCUCAAUGAAGUGAAAUUGCUAUGAGCCUCUUCCUUACAAACCUGCAGGGUUUCCAUCACUGAGCCCAUUCAUCAGUGACCCUGGUGACCUGAGUUAUCCCUGGAGCUCACCUGACAUUUCCUCCUGGCUCUGGUAGGUCAUUCCUCUCCUUUAGUCAACCUCUGAUGUCCUUGCAGCCUGUGACCUUGAGGGGGAGUUACUGGGUAGCAGAAAGCUGGGACUUGUGCUGCUUGAAUGAGGUGGCCCACGCAUGAGGGCCCACGGGCUUGGGAGCUGCCCAGGGGGCCACCCAGGGGGCCACCCAGGGGGCCUCUGACACUUGCUGGGAGGGAGAGUCCCGGCACACCCCUGCUCUACUCAUAUCUGACGGGGAUUUUUCUUCCUGCUAAUCCAAUUUCAAGAGGGAGGUCCACCCUUCCGAGUGGACUUUGGGAAGUGACAGUAAUAAGGAAAGGAUGUUGGUCUGUCCCUUCUGCCUGAAUUCCACUCCCAACCGUUAGUCAUUCUUUCCUGCUAAGCAGGUGCUUCUCUUAACAACACAAAUUCUCAAGGUAACCCAGGUUACCAGAUGGAGUCCCUCCUUCCAGGGGCAGGUUGACCAGGGGCAUGGGACCUGGGUGGAGGAGGGAGGGGUGAAGCCAUAUGCUAGUUUUGAUCAAUCUGACCUUAAUUGGAAAACCUGGGCAGAUGUCAGUUGCUAUGGGGUCAGCCAGGUUACCUGAGUGCCUUAGUUUCCCUCCUUUACCUGGGUUCUCACAGAAGUCACAAGAAGCGUAUUUCUCCUUGCUCACUUCAUCUUCUGUGAGUGCUUGGGACCAAGAAACACAGACUUGGGGGGCUGGGGUGGGGCCAGAGCCUCCCCUAGUUGCUGAGACCCACACCUAUGGAGCUUCUGUGGGGCUGGCUCUGCCCCUACCUGGAGGGUUGGGAGGCUUCUCCAAGCCCCUGACUCUCUUAUCUGCAGUGGGAAUGUAAACGACAGGACUUUUCUUUUAGGGUGGUUAUGGGUUGCAAGAAAUAAGGUAUGUGCUCAGCUUACUGGCCACCAAUUGGCAUUAGUGACACCCACAGGCAGGAUCAUUUUGUUGAUCUUUGAUCCCCCCAGAGUAAGUAAGGGUCUCCUUUGUGGAAGCUCAGUGUUUGGCUGAAGGCAUUGAGUUAGAUUUGCAAGAGCAAUUUCUCCUCAGGGCCUGUUGGGGAAGGGGGAGGGUUCCUACUUCUGCUGCUGAGGAGGGAGGGGAGGAAGUUCCCUAGCCCUGGAGAGGCCCUUGUGCCCCUCUCCUGUCACGUUUUCCUCUUCCUCCGUUGUUCCUCAGGCUGUCACCAGUGAGGAACGGAAGCCUUCCCAUGCCCUGGCUCGGUGUCCCCAGACCUUUCCUGCUGUUCCCUUUCACCCAGCUGGGUGGGACUCUGCCCUGGAACUCUGCACUGUCCCCUCAUUUCUCUUUGGCUUGUGUAAGAGCAUUCUGGUUCUGUGGCUCAGGGUAAGGAUCCUGGAAACCCCAGGGGGCAUGAAGCCCAGUGCCCAGGGCAUAGACCAGGCUGUUGGCACUGCAGUCUGUCACGGCCACCUUGUGCCAACCGGGUGAACUGGUUAUCCUGGCACAAGUGUACAUUCUUUCGGCUGCCACCAGCUCCAUGGGCGCCUGAGAAGCUGCUGUGAUAGCCCGAGCAUGCCACAUGCUCAGCUGGAGCCUGGCAUAGUUAAUCAGCUACCAGGGCAUCCCCAAGGAUCCCCCUGGGAGGCGCAUUGCCUGGAACCCUGGGCUGCUUCCCUCCCUCCACUUCUCUUGGAAGGAGGAGGAGGAAGAGGAGGAGGACGAGAAGGGCAUCUGCCUCACAGGGGAUGGGAGGGAACACAUUUUCCUCUCUUCUCUCUCUGCUUAGUGAGAAAUGACUGCAGCCCCCUGCAGAUCUUCCCUGUGGGGGACUGCUUUUCACCAAAGGGUGGGAGAACAGAAGAAUAGAGAAUUCUGGUUUAGAAGAACAGUGGUUCUUUAGAGAACUCACCUUUUAAAGUGCAUUCUGUCUAAUAAUCAAAUCUUCAUCCAUGGAGUUAUUAAGUAAACUCCUGUGGGUUAUUAUUUUUAUUGUUUUUUUUUUUUUUUCCCUAAUGAUGCUGGUGCUGGAACCCAGGACCUUGCAUGUGCUAGGCAAGCACUGUAUCACCGAGCUGCACCCCUGGCCUGAGCUGUGGUUUUGUGAUGCACAUCUGUAAUCCAAGUGACUCAGGAGGCUUAGGAGGCCAGCCUGGGCAACUUGGUGAGACCUGGUCUCAAAAAUUAAACAGAGCUGGGAGGUCGCCUGGCAUGUGUAAGGCCCUGGGUUUGAUCCUCAGCACCACAUAAAAAUAAAUAAAUAAAAUAAAGGCAUUGUGUAAGAGAUAGAGAGAGAGAUAGAGAGAGAGAGAGAGCGCUGGGAGGUCGCUCAGUGACAGAAUACCCUGGGUUCCAUCCUCAGUACCGCUAGUGGCCACUCAUGCUGCGUGUGAGCUUCUGUGCUUGUGAUGAUUCAGAGGGCGGGUCUGGGUCUCUGAGGACCUUGAAGCCCAGGGCACAGACCCUAGUUGUCUGUCUGUGGGGAGCGGCAGGGAGGCCAGUACAUGGAGAUGCAUGGAGGGGACAACUGGGGAGAGUGGCAUUGGCAGGGGGGCAUGGGCAGUAGGCUUCAUGGUGGACCUGGGUCUUUAGGACGCAGCCCUAGCCACCUCCCUGCACCCUGCUGCUCCUCUCAGUCACCUGCUACCCAGCUGUACAGCUAGGGAUAGACAGGCCUCAACCAAGGCCCUAGGGUGGCCUUGAAGAACUUUAGCCCCUGAGAUUCUAGCAACCUCAAGAGGCCCCGCCCACCCCCUGCCCUGGCCAUCCCACCCCCCAUCCCACCCCGCCAGCAGCCCCAAAAUGAGUCUUUAUGAAGCACAGUGUUUGGGUGAUGGGUGAAUCCAGGUCCUGUGGCCUUGAAAGAGGCCACCCCCUGAGUCCAGAGGGAUUUGUUCCUUGUUACUGCCUGCCUGGUUGUCCACCUACUUGCAGAAUCCCCACAGGGGCUGCUCUGGCAAUGUCUUAUCUCCUUCCAAAGACGGAUGGGAGCAGACCAUAGGGCUUCUGAGCUGGCGAGUCCCUUAGAGAUGGCUUAGCUCUCAAGUCUUACUGAUGGUGAACUGAGGGCCACUGGUCACCAAAAAUUUACUCUUUGCAUCAGUCAGUGGGUGGGCUAAUAUUGAUUAAAAAAAAUUUUUUUUUAGUUGUAGAUGGACACAAUACUUUUAUUUUAUUUUUAAAUAUUUAUUUUAGUUUUAGUUGGAUACUUUUUUUAUUCUUUAAUUUUUUAUGUUAUUUUUUAAUGUUUAUUUUAUUUAUUUAUUUUAUGUGGUGCUGAGGAUGGGACCCAGUGCCUCACACAUGCUAGGCAAGCGCUCUACCACUGAGCCACAACCCCAGCCCUUGAUAUUCAAAAGCAUUACAAUUCUUAUUACAUGUAGAGCACAAUUUUUCAUAUCUUUGUAUAUAAAGUAUGUUCAUACCAAUUCAUGUCUUUAUACAUGUACUUUGUUUUUCUUUGCAUUACAAUUCUUAUUACACAUAUAUACCACAAUUUUUAAUAUCUCUUGUUUGUAUAUAAAGUAUGUUGACACCCAAUUCGUGUCUUCAUACAUGUACUUUGGUUGAUGAUGUCUAUCACAUUCCACCCUCCUUGCUAAUCCCCUGCCUCCUCCCCUACCCUCCCACCAUUCUGCCCUAUCUAGAGUUCAUCUGUUCCUCCCACGGUCCCCCUCCCUACCCCACUAUGAAUCAGCCUCCUCAUAUCAGAGAAAACAUUUGGCAUUUGUUUUUUUGGGAUUGGUUAACUUCACUUAGCAUUAUCUUCUCCAACACCAUCCAUUGACCUUCAGAUCCCAUGAUUUUAUUCUCUUUUUUUUUGAUUUUUAUAAUCAAUAAAAGAAUAGUCCAUGCAGAUGUUGUAGUGCAUGCUACUACAUCUACUACAUCUCAGUGACUUGAGUGGUUGAGGCAGGAAGAUGGCAAGUUCAAAGCCAUCCCAGGCAACUUAGUGAGACCCUGCCUUAAAAAAAAAAAAAAAAAGAAAGAACUGGGGAUGUAGCUUAGUGGUAGAGCACCCUGAGUUGUUGAGAGCCCAGUAACUAACACACACACACAGAGUUGGAGCUACUACAUCAGGGAUAAUGAUUAAAUAAUUGUGAUGCAUGUACAAUAAAGACAUAAAAGAGGGUGUCCUGGGUGAGAGGUAGAGGAGAGAGGUGGGUAUUGAGGGAUGGGUAGGAAUUUGUGAAUGGGGUCCAGAGGGACAGAGGGCAUUCCAGGCAUGUGCAGAAGUCAUUGCGAAAGAGUCUGCCUGGGUGAUUGGGGUGGCAGGUGGGAUCAGCCAGGCUGUGGAAGGUCUGAGUCCAGAGGGAUUUGUCAUUCUCAGAAGAAUAAUAAUAAAUUAUAAAAAUAAUCUCAGGAGGCAUGACUCUUCCUUCUGGUGGAUGCUGGAAUGUGGGAGCCAUGGGUAGGUGAGGAGGCCUGGGUGGGGAUGGCUUUCAGGAGGUGAGGCUCCAUCAGGGAAGGCUCUGGGGGAAAGGCAGGAGGCCACGGAGAAUAUACUCCUAAAAUAAAACAUUAUAGACAUCAUGGAGAAGGUCAUGAUGACAACCAGAAAUCGAUAUUGAAAGUGUCUUACCAUUCCCUCGUCUUGCUUCUGGGCCCCAGGGUCUCACUGCAGGGGAUCAUUGCUACCAGGGGACAUUUGGUUGUCACAUGGGGGAGGAGCUGCUGUCAACUGGUGGGAAGAGGCCAGUAGUAGGGUGGGGGACUGCCGAGCAUCCCAGAAUGCACAGUGCAGCACCCCCACACUGGAAUGACCUGGCCCUAAAUGCCAACAAUGCAGAGGUUGAGAAGCUCUGCUUCAGAGGCAGCCAGUAUCACGAAGUUAGUACACCGUGUUCUGAUCUUUUUUUAAAGCACACACAGAGAAAGAAUAUUUAAAACUAUAUUGUGUUGUUUUCUAAAAAUUCUAAAAAUUUGUAUCUGCUCUGAAUGCUGCAACUCGCUCUUUUUACUUGGCUUUAUGUUUCUGAGAAAGAGCAUGGUGUCACAUGUAGAUGUAACCUAUUUAACUUCUGUGGCUUAGCUAUUUUAUACAUGGGUCAUGUUUUAUUUCUUCAUUCUUCUGCUGAUAGGCACUGAGAUUAUUUUUUAUAAUUAUUAUUUUUUUGCUGUUCUGAGAAUGAAACCCAGGGCCUACCACAGAGCCACAGCCCCCACCCACCUAGAUUGUCUCUGACUGUUCCUGGUCAUUUUCGCUGGAAGCUGCCAGAAACAUUCUUGCACAUGCUCUUUGCGCUGUGUGUGGAAUUCCUGGGAUGUGGGGACAUACCUCUGUGGCUUGCAAGACCUCUCUUGUGCCCUUAGCAAGACUUGAGGUGGUCUCUCAUUAAGUCUUUCCUGUGUUUUUCCCCAAAGUACUGGGGAUUGGACCCAGUGCUUUACUCACACUAGGCAAGUGCUCUACCACUGAGCCACACCCUCAGCACUUUUUUUCUUUUUAAAUGUUUUUUUGAGACAGUCUUUCUAAGUUGCUGAGGCUGGCCUCAAACUUGCGAUCCUCCUGCCUUAGCCUCUUGGGUAGCUGGGAUUAUAAAUGUGCACACAUUACAAUUGUUUUAAUUUCCUUUUACUUGAUUUCUAGUGAGGAUGAGCAUUUCUCCUCAUGUAUGUUGGGCACUCGAGUUUUUCUGGGGCCUCUGAGAGCCCUCAUCCCAGAGGGUCCAGGUGGCAUCCAGUUCUGGUGUCUCUUCCUUUGAGGAAGCUUCAGAGUCACGCAUCUGCUCCUCAGCACCCAUGCACACCUCUGCAGCUGCCAGUCUGGCUGCCCUCCCGACAGGGCACGACACAGUUGAUUAGGUUUCGGCUUUUUAUCUUGUUUUAUGAGACUGCAGCGUGGUAACCUUGGCUGGGCUGGAUGUUCCCAAGCCUCCCAGCGUGUUCCCAGAGGAUAACUUUGUCUCUGAGUUCUGGGGGCUCCCGGGUCCUGGCAUUCUCUGGGCGGUGCUGGGCGGGUCUCCUGCUGACGCCGGCUCUGUCCCUGCAGGCAGACCUCUGCGUUAUGACCUGGCUGCUGGGCUACAUGAACCCCUGGGAUUCCAGCCUUGUGGCGGCCGCCCUCACCAUUGCUUUCAAUCCUCUCUUCUGGAAUGUGGUAAGUACCUUGUGCCUGACCCCGUCCAGCAGGGUGACCUCGCACGGAGAGGAUCACUGUUGUCCAGGCAGAUGGGUGACUGGAUAGCUCUGUUAUGCCCUUCUCUACCAAUGGUCAGCACCCCGUGAAGGUACACUGGGAAGCUCCUUGCCUUGCAGGCCCAAGCAGCAACUCAGCCGCCAGGCCUGCCCUGGGCUGACGUCAGGGUGGCCGAGGGCAGCAGGACUGGCCCUCUUAGCACCACAGGCCCUGCAGCAGAGAGCUGCCUGGCGGUAGGACUUCACGUGUACCCCCCCUUUCCUUAGUAGCCGUCAUAUUCAGGGAGUCGAUUGCUGGGGCUGCAGGGCUCCCUUCCCUCUCUGCCUUGUCCCACUAUCAAGCCAUUUUCUUGUGAAUCCCCCUCCUCCAGGUGGGCUCCAUAAACAUUGCUGUUCCCACAUGUGGCUUCCUGUGAAGUAGCUUGCACGGCUGGGGUGGAGGUGUGGGUGGCAAGGACAAGCUGACCGGGACUGAAAUCAGAAGACAGAGCUGGAUGUACCCUAUUCAUUUGUGGGCACCAGGGGACACAUCCAGAGGCCUGAGGGCUCUGUGGCAGGGCCAGGGUGUGUGGGCAGUGGGUUCUGGGCCCGUGGAGCAAGGUGUGGGUGCGGCAGGCCAUUGGCUCCUGCAGUGUCCCCACCAAGAUUGCAGAUUAAGCUUUUGGGGUGUGUGGCCCUCUCUCCUGUGGCCAUCUCUGGAGGGCUGUCCUGCCCCAUAUUGCCGAGCUGGUGGUCCUGGGGCUCAGCCAGUGCUCGGCCCUCUGAGGCAGAGCUGUGGACGCCCUGUGAUCACCCUUGAGGCUAAUCUACAGAAGGCCAAGAUCCGCGUCAGCAACACACUGUUCCCAGUUGUUUUCAUUUAAGGUGAGCCCUUGGUCCCAGGGCAGAGCACGACAUGUUUUGCAUCUGGUUUAUGACUUGGGCCUUUUCUCCAUCUGGGGAGAGUGGCAGUGUGUGGGGGCAGGGCCAGUCAUCUUAGAGUGGCCACAUUCUGAAUGUGCUGUCCCUGUUGUCCUGAACACACUGGCCCUGCUUCAGGAGAGGGUUUCAGAGAGGGUGGUCUAGAGGUGGGACCAAGGCCAGCGAGAAGAAUGACAUCUCCCCUUCCUUUUGAGAAGCCUUGGUUUCCGAGUGUGUGGCGGAUGUGCCAGAGUUGGUCCUAAUCUCCGGAUGUGGCCUCCCCAGCAAGGGUGGGUGUCUGUGGGGCCUGGCGCCUUAGCCUCGUCCCUGCUGUCCCUCACCCCCUGUGCUCGCUCUCCACCUGUGCACGCAUGACCAGAGAGGGUAAAGAUUAGGCUUCCGGCCACUAGAACUGUGCGAGAAGACCCUUCUGUCGUUUUUUAGCCACUGUGUUUGUGUCCAUCUGUUAUAGCAGGUACAGGAAAUGAAUGCAGGGUCAACAGGCUAUUGAUCCCACCUAGAAGAUAUCGUGGCCCUAAGUAACUGGGGUGUGUGGGUGUAGGUGUGGGUGGGUGUGUGCAUGCUCCUUCCUGUCCACAGCCUCUCCCAGGAGAAGACUGCUGGGCUUCAACAGCUGCCCGGCCUCCCUGUCCUCUGGCUCCUACAGGCCUGGCUGACCAGCAGUUGUUUGAGUGUGUGCUGGUCUCCUCACCCUGGGGACUUGGGCAGCCAAAUGUCCAGUGGGUCUUGGGGUGUACUUGGCCAUUUUCUGCUGGCCCUUCCAACUGUGUGCUCUUUUGCACACUUCAUUCUGAAGCUGUGUCAUGGCCCCCAGGGACAUCCAACGUAGCAAGGGGUCAAGGUGCAGUAAGAUUUGAGGCAGUUUCUUGUCUGUGUGUUUGUCAUAGGUGGAUUUUUUCCCCCCACUUUGGUCAUACGUUUUUGAUUUGCCUCAUUUUUUUGAAAAAAUUAUUCACUGGAACAGAUUGUGGUCAUUAGUGGUAGAAAGAACAAACUCUUCAGAGUUGUUUCAGAAUGAGAAAGCGACAUAAUGUUUACGGUUCAGUGGGCUGCUCCCCUGGGAGAGCCAUGGAAUGAAAUCUGGAGGCAAGAGGAGCUGGGAUGAGCAGGGCCUGAUGGCGCAUGCCUGUGAUCCCAGCAGCUCAGGAGGCUGAGGCAGGAGGAUUGCAAGUUCAAAGCCAGCCUCAGCAACUUAGCGGGGCCCUAAGCAACUCAGUGAGACCCUGUCUCUAAAUGAAAAAAAAAAAGUCUGGGGAUAUGCUCAGUGGUUAAGUACCCCUGGGUUCAAUCUCUGGUACAAAAAAAAAAAAAAAACCAAACCAAACCAAACCAAAAAAGCACUAAGAGGAGCUGGGGUGGGGCUGGAGCCUGUCUCUGUGAUGAGGUGGUGAUUGAAAAUCCACCUUGAGAAAUAAAGGAGUCUGGCUGUGAAAGCACUGGAAGAGCUAUUUGUUUAUUAUGUGGUGCAGGAUGGAACCCAGGGCCCAUGCAUUUUAGGUGUGCACUACCACUGAGCUUCCAGCCUAAAUCAGUUACUAAAUUCUAAUGAUGGCCGAUGUCCAGAGGCCUUGUCACAGACAGGCAUCCCACUUGGUGCAUUUCAUGUGGGAUCUCUGGACUUUUACAGCACUGCUGUUAUAUCCCCUUUGAAGGGUGGGGUUUGAGGAGGAUGUUAGUCAAUUAAAAAAAAAAAAACUUUUGUCGUUUAUAGAUGGACACAAUGCUUUUAUAUUAUUUUAUUUUUAUGUGGUGCUAAGGAUUGAUCCCAGUGCCUCACACGUGUUAGGCAAGCACUCUGCCCCUGAGCCCCAGCCCCAGCCCCUUAGUCCAUUUUUUUUGUUGCUAUAACAAAAUAUCUUGAGGCUGGGUACUUUAUAAGGGGGUUUAUUUGGCUCACAAUUCUGGUGACUGGAGGGUUCAAAACAGCAUGGUGUCAGCAUCCUGUUGAGUGCCUCCUGGCCGCAGAAGGGGAAAGAGCUCAGUGCUGAAGGAGCCAAGCUGAGAAGUGGCCUUACUUUUUACAGCCUGUUCUUCAGAGAACUAACUUGAUCCUGCGAGAACUAUAUCGGUCUCUUUUCAGGGCAUUCCCCAAUGACCUGGGGACCUGCCUUCCAUUAGACGCCACCUUACAAAGGCUCCUCACUUCCCAACACAGCCACACUGAGGACCAAGCUUCUAGCCCAUUAACCUUCGGGGAACAAAAUCCAGUCAUAGUCAAACCAUAGUACAGAGGUUCAUUUGUUCUUCAGAUAUUUCUUGAGGGCCAGGCACUGUCCCAGGCUUUGGGGUGCACCUUCCUGACCCUUAUACAGUGGCAUUCUGUAUAAGAAUAUAUAAUACACAUACAUCCCUGCUACUUGGGGACAUAGCAGGCUAGGGACAGAAGGAUAGGAGGGGUGGUCAGGGAAGGCCUCUUCAAAGGGAUGACUUUUAACCUGAAACUGGACUUCCACGGGAGGGUCCCCCCAGGUGCCUGAGGAAGAGCUUUCUGGUCAGAGGAGACAGCAAUGCAAACUCGGAGGGGGGGCAAGAGCAUCCACACCCACUGGCCUCAGAGGGAGGGUGGAGGGCAGGUUGGAGAGGUGGCAGUAGGCUGCGGGGAGGCUCUGGGGUGGACUUGAGCUGAGAGCCACACUCAGCAGCAGGACCUCUGUGGGGUUUUCAGGGGCGCUGGAGUGGAGCUGGGGCUGGACCUGCAGUUGAGGCCCAGGUGCUGGGGACCCAGGAGUCCUGAUCUAGGCCACUGCCUGGCUCUCUGGGGCUGUGGCUGGUGGAAGUGUUUCCGCAGCCUUGGGCAGGGUGGGCUGCCCUCUUCAGCUGCAGCACCCUGACACGGGCAAUCUCUCACCCGUGCCCAGUGCCAGUCCUGUUCUGUCCCCACCAGGCCUCUCCUUGUACCCUCCUCACUGCACCACGGCCAGGCUGUGUCCUCUGCUCUCUUACCCCCUUCAGAGGGCUAUUGCUGCACCAAAGGGGGCUUUUCAGCCUGUCUUUGGCUGAGUCUUUGGGGACAGUUUCUCACGUGGCCUUGCUGUCCUUAACAUCAGGCUCUCUGGGUCCCUUGCUACCUCCUGGCUCUCUUCUGCUCCUGUGUCCUUUUCUUCUUUUGCCUGAUGGCUCCAUGCUGGGCAGUUACUCGCUGAGGCCCCACUGUGCGCCAGGCCUUGUGUGUCCUUGGCUGGCUUCCCAGGACAGCCAGCAGUCUCUCCUCCCUGGGCACAAAGACACACGGAGUGUAAGCUGUGGCGAGGGUGGGAACGAAGGCCAGGGUGCUGCCGAGGGGCCAGGGGAACUUCUCCUUCUGUUGCCUGGUCUGUCACCCAGAAUCUGCUCCCAGACCCAGGAGCCCAGGCCCAGGCUCUGUGGCUGCGUCUGGGAUUCUCCAGGCCCCACAGGAACCUUGGCCAAGAACCCCCUGAUAUGCUGUCCUUUCUGUCUCCACAAAUGCCACCUCUCUGGGUGCCAGGGGGAUGCCUCGACUCCCUCCUCCCCCCGUCCCCUCAGUCUGCCCUCACAGACUCCACCUAUCAAGAGAUGCCACCACCUGCUUCAGGCCCUGCACCCAUCAGCCAGGUCUGUGCACCCUCCAGCCCAUCUCCCUCUAGUCACCCCCAAGUGUCCAACGCUCAAAGGCCCCCUGCCUCCCAGGAGGAGGGGUCAGUUCUUUGCCUGGCCAGGGAAGCCCCUCAGCCCUUACCUGCUCCCUCAGUCAUGCUGGGUCCCAGCCUCCUCCUGGGUGACCUGUCCUUUCUCAUCCAGGGCUCCUUGGAGACCUGUGGUAACCUUUGUCAGGUGUCCUUUCUCCACCUUGCCCUCUGGGUCAGGGUCUACAUCAUGCACUGUAGGAUACUCAGCAGUGUGCCUGGUUUCUGUCCACCAGGGGUCAGUAGCACUGCCUCCAGACAUCACCAGGUCUCCUCCCAGGGCACAGUGGCUCAGGUGAUCUGAGUGCCCACCAUGUACGUCCCAUGGCACAGCUGCCAUGCCUGGUGCCACAGUUUACUCCUUACCAACCCCAAGAGUGUCCCAAAGUUCCUGCUCUACUUCGUGUCCCCCUUUGUGUGUGCUGUGCCCUGGGUAGCAACUGCUGCCUGACCUUUUGUAUCAGGGAGGGCCCUGCACUGCCUAUCCUUGGCACCCAGUGCCCAGUACCGUGCCUGGCACAAACAGUGCUCAGGCAGUGUUACUGGCUUCACGAACCUAUCUUGGGCUCCUAACCAGGGGAGGGAGGGAGUCAAGGCAUUCCUCUGGCAUCCUGUGCCAAGGUCCACCUCCAUUUGGGACAUUUGCCUCUGCACCCCCUGGCUUUGCGAAACAGUUGGGAUUGCAGGGAAGGGAAGCACAGCAGUGGCUUGUAAUAGGCACAGUCUGGCACCCAGGAGAGUAAGCCAGGACGGCCCUGCCAGGCCAGGUCCCGAGCUCCUCCCGGGGUCAGAACCCCUGGGAGCUAGCGCCUGGGGUCUGAGUAGUGUUCUUGGGCUCCUGAUGUUUGUGAGAGUAAGUUGCACACGUCUUGGUGUCUUCACCACCAGAGGUUUGCUUACCACAAACGUCCAACCAGUGGAGACGGCACGUCUGGCCACCAUGGCGAACUGAGAUGGAGGGUUGGAGGGGGCAGCGCUGGGUGUUCUUUACCUCUAUAUUAGGACCCCCAGGGAGGGGUAGUGGUGCCGAUUAAGACUUCUACCUGGGCCACAGGUGUGGAGAGGACCGAGAGGCUCCCCCCACUGUGGAACGUCCUCUUAGAGAGCUUUGCUUGUGUCCCUCCAUGCCUGCGUGGCUCCCUCCUGGCAGGACCAGCCCUGCCUCAGGGUCAGCCUGCAGCCCCCACCUCGAAGCUCCCUCUGUCCCAACAUGCCUUGGGCCUUUCUCUGAGGGGUGUGGAGGCUUCAGGUGCUCACAGGGGUGUUGGCUGCCGUGGGUAUGUAUCCCAGUCAUGGCCCUGCAGGUGAGGCCCUGUGGGGGUGGCAGGCCCUGUGCCUGCUCUAGGAUGGCCAACCUGCCCGCUGGCCAGAGGUACUCCUGAGUGCAGCUCAAGAAUCCUUGCAUCCCCAGAGCCCUGACAGUUGGGCCAAUCAGGACCCAAGGUCACACUUGACGGAGAGCUAGUUUGGGAAGAGGUGGCCUUUUCCUCCAAGAAGUUGCAGAGCUUGCUCUGCUGGGCUGAUGAACAGGGUCUCCACAGUGGGAUGUCUGGCCCCUGGUUCCUGUGGUCCUGAGCAGGUGGCAGGGGCUUUGGGGGAGCUUUGGGGUGGCUGGGCGGCAGGUGGCGUCGUGGGCAAGGGGAGGUAUGCUUUCCCUGGUUCCCAGGAGUGGGGAAGAAGUGACAGUGAGGUAAGAGGAGGUGACAUCAGGGAAAGGGUGACAGCAAGAAGGAGGUGACAACGAUGGAAGAGGAGGUCACAGUGAUAGAAGAGACGGUGACAGCAGGGACAAGGAGGUGGGGUGUGGUCCUGGGCCGUGUCCCUGUCUGCCCUCGCCCUGCCUUUCCCCCACCCCACCUCCACCUUCAUUGUGCCUUUGCUGCUGCCGCCUGCAUUUAUGACCCCAGACGCCAGCCUGCAGUCUGUGGGUGUCAGCCCAAGACCCCUUGUUGUUCACAUCCCCUCCUGGCCUUGCUGUCUCCAUUUGUAAAGCGAGACUCUCCAGCUUUGAAACACUGUGAUCCCCUUCUUUACUGAGGCCCACCCAGGCUGGGGUACCCUGUGCUGGGAUGUUACUCUACCCUCCUGGAACUGGUAAGAUUGGACAUCCAAAGUGGAACAGGAAAGUCAGGAUUUGUUUGGAGCUUACUGGAGGAGUUCAGGAGAGGUUGUAUCCAGGUCCUAAGUUGGGGGCGAGGGACAUGGGGUUUGUAGAGGGGAUGGUGCUUCUUGGCCUUGGAUUAAGUUGACCCAGGCUUUCUAGAGGAGAGAAGGGUAGAUAAGAGUCCAGGAAACAACAGAAGGGGAAUGUGUGAGGUUGGCAGGUGGGCAGCAGGCCCUGAGACCCCUGAAGGAAGACACUGAAUGCUUGUCUGCAAACGGGUUGUGUGCCUGAGACUGGAGGUGGUGGUGGUGGUGCUGGGUGUGUGUGUGCACCGCGCACAUGUAUGAGUGUGUCUCACUCAGAUGGGCAGUGGAAUUUGGAGGGGGCGUGAACCAGACUGUCAGGAUCCUUGCUCCCAUCUGGCUUGGAAACCUGGCUCCUGGGCAUGGCCAUUACCACUGGGCUCGGAUCCUGUGUUUCGGGAAGAUGUGCUCCCGGGCCAGGGCACGUCUUGCUGGCUGGGGUGGCCUGCAGCAGUGGGAAGAUUUUUCCCUGAGUGUGGCCAGCUGGCUCGCUGAGCUUGAGAACUUGGCUCUGGGAACACUAGUUAGCCAGCCAUUUAUCCCUUCACACUGAUGUCACCUAAGGCACUGAGGCAUGCCCAAAUGUCCUUGAUCCCUACCUGAAUCUCACUCCCUGCUGAAUUGUUCCAGAACUAAUGGCAGAUCUAGCAUCAACCUCAAUUGCUGAGGACUGGCCACUCUUCGUCAGAAGAGUCCCAGCCUUGCCCCCUAACCCUUAAUGUUGGUUCAAGUGUGAGAUAUCCAGGGUAUAUGAGUGUGUGAUCUUUUUUGAGCCAGGUGCAAACAUGUGAUUUUACGUGCAAACAGCCCUGCCCACCACCCCGCAGGCCAUAUCUCCUCUGAAUGGAGAGCCACAAGGGUGCCGGGAGCCAGGGCUAACUUUAGAACUGCAGUGUCCGAGCAACGUGGUGGUAAUGUGGUGAUAAUGUGGUGAUGUGUACAGACGAGGUGUCUCGAACUGGGUCAGCUCACAGCCUUUGCCAGGAUGGCUCGGGAAUGACAUGGUAGAAAAACAGAAGGAAAUGAAGUGGGAGAGAGGGAGGCGGGGAACACACUCCCCACCAUCUGGGGCUGACCCACUGAGCUGGGUGUCCUCCGUCAGCUCCUCCCUUCCCCCAGGUCCCAGACCUGCAGUUUGAGAGUUUUCUUAGGAAAUUUCUUGCUGGGUGGGUGGGGGUGGGGUCCAUCUUUCCUCUAGGAUGUUUUUUGGUUCUGGCAUUACAGGGGUGUUGCACACCUUAGCGUGGGUAGAAUGGGUGUCACCAGGAGGCAGUGGACAGGGCACUUCACUGUGGGAUUUAGUGUUGAUCACUUCGGGUUCUUGUUACACGGGGGCGGGGUGGGGGGGAGGAUGGGGGGCAGGGAAUUGGGCAGAAUUUUAUGACUUUCUCCUGUGAUUUCCAGCAGAUCUGGCCCCUCAACUUGAAUCUUUUGUUUUUGGGGGCAGAGGGAGUUGCUGGGGAUAGAACCCAGGAUCACACUUGCUAGGCAAGUGCUCUACCACUGAGCCACGCCCCCCAACCCUUUGUAGAUUUUGGCUGCCUUCAGGUUAGGUGGCAUGGUUUGAGGUGCACUCAUGACCUGGACCCCUCCCAUAGGCACACCCCUGUGUCAUCUUGCAGAGCCCUGGCCACGUGAUUCCCUGCCAUCCUACAGGCCUGGUCUCCUCUCAUUCCUCUGUGCCUUUGCACGUUCUGUUCCUACUUCCUAAAAGACCAACCCCCCACUUCCCCACUUGGCUGCCUCUGCCCUUCUUUAGCCAGGCUUCCCUGAGCCUUGACUCAAAGCAAUGCGGCUCUGCCUUUGUGUCUUUGUCCCCUGCAGUGAUGAGCUGGGGAACUGUUAAUAGCAAUGGUCUGUUCCAGUCUGAGCCAUAGAUGGAUGCCUCGGGCCUCGCCCAGUGUUGGAGGGGGUGGAUGGUUGAAGGGUACUCCCUCCUGGAAGGUGAGCCCAAGGUGGCCCUGGGGAGUGAUAGAGCUGAGCAUAGUCGCUCCCAACUCUGCUGGGAGCACAUGGAUCACAGUUAGUCCUCUCCCAUUUUCUUGUGCCUUCUUUCUCUAUCUUUAAAAGGAGCUAGUAAGUCCUCUGUGGACUUCAUGAGUACACUGGCAGGAACCAAGGAGAUGCAGCCAGAAUCAUCUUAGGAGUCAGGGAUCCUGGCUGGUUUUUAUUUGUUUGUUUGUUUGUUGUUGUUGUUUUUGCUACCAGGGAUUGAACCUAGGGGCACUUAACCACUGAGCCACAUUCCCAACACUUUUUUUAAAAAUAUUUUUUAAAGUUGUUGAUGCACCUUUAUUUUUAUUUAUUCGUAUGUGGUGCCGAGAAUCGAAACCAGCACCUCACGCAUGCCAGGCAAGUGCGCUAUUGCUGAGCUGCAACACCACCAACGCUGUUUUUUUUUUAAAAAUUAUUUUAGUUAUAGGCCGUCACAAUAGCUUUAUUUUAUGUGGUGCUGAGGAUUGAUCCCAGUGCCUCACCCGUGCUAGACGUGUGCUCUAUCUUUGAGCUAUAAACCCAGCCCCCCAACCCUUUAAUAUUUUAUUUAGAGUCAGGGUCUUCCUGAGUUGCUUAUGGCCUUGCUAAGUUGCUGAGGCUGGCUUUGAACUUGGGAUCCUCCUGCCUCAGCCUCCCGAGGUGCUGGGAUUGCAGAUGAGCCGCCACACCUGGCUAUGGCUGUGUUUUUUGCUUUGUUCCACUCUUGGGUCUUCUUUUUGUUGAUACAUGCACAUCUAUGGGGUGAUACAUGAUAAUUAUGCACAUCUAUUGGGGUGUAGUGUGGUAAUUCGGUAGACAGUGCAUACUGAUCGAAUCAGUGUAGUGAAUGCUCCCUUCUCCUUAAACACUGGCCAUUUCUUUGGGUUGGAAUCUUUCCAGUUCUUCUCUCUAGUUACUUAUAAAUUGUGUAAUAAACUGUGUAAUCUGUAGUCACCUUCCUGUGCUGUAGAACCCUUGACCUUUUUGAGGAACCACAUCUUCCACCAUGGUUGUAUCAGUUUGCAGUCCUACUACCUCGGAUCUUCUUUUGGGACCAAUCAAGAGUUUGUGGAGCUGGGUGCAGUGGCUCACUCCUGUAAUCCCAGCAGCUCCGGAGGCUGAGGCAGGAAGAGCACAAGUUCAAAGCCAGCCUCGGCAAUUUAGUGAGACCCUGUCUGAAAAUAAUAUAUCCCAGGAAAUUUCCAAGGUGUUGGUUGUCUCACUUCACUGCUGACUUAUGCUGUGACUUGGGACAAGUCACCACACUUCUCUGGAGUCAGCCAGGAGGGGACUUGGAGACUAGAACUGAUGCCAUGUGUGUGUUCAUGGCCACGCAAUGGGACUGCACAGUGACUGGCUGCUGUCGGGCUCUCCGGUGUCAUUGACUGCUGCCUCCAGGGUUCAUCGGUUGCCCAGGUGGCAACCCUGUCCCUGCCCCCUUGUCCCUGACUGCCUGCUCUUUUCAUUCCCUGCCAGGCUGGCAUGAUGAGACUCAGCUGGGAGGGGCAGGGCCUCCUCAGGACUGGAGCCCCUGAGGCCCCAGUUGCAUUCCAGGGAAGGGUCCCUUGUGUUAUUAUCUGUGGCUGUGACCAGAUAGCUGAGAUUGGGGAGUUAAGGGUUCAUGGUCUGGAGAUGGGAAGUCCACCAGCAGGCGCCUGCAGCUGCUCAGUAUCACGGUCACUUGCUGCUUGACUCACGGUGGGAUGUGGAAGGGCAGGUGACCUCGUGGGGAAGAGGCGAAACCUGAGGGGUCACCUUGCUUUAUACCAACCCAGUCUCGUGGUAGCUCAUCCUCCUGUGAGAUGCAGCAAUCGCACUCCCAUGAAAUAUCAUUAACUUUCUACUAAUUAGAUAAGAAACCUAACCCUCCCCCGAGGCACCACCUCCCAACACUGCCCCAUUGAAGAAUUUACCCUCAACACAGUGUGGCACUGUGUGAUGCUGCUAGACCUUGAGACAAUUCCAAUAGUUUGUUCAAAAGAGGGGACCUUGGCACGAUGCUGGGUGCCUGGGCCUGUUGUGGAGCCUGUGUGACCUACAGGCUGGGGGUGUGUCUGGGCAGUGGGCAGAGGCCUCAGGAGGAGCUGGAGUCAGCUUCCAGCCUAGCUCUAAGUAUGUGGGGAGAAUCCAGGCCCUUGAUGGAAAAGGGAAAUCCGGAGAGGCCUGGGGAUUGGAGCAGAGGGUGGUAGGUGGAGUCUGCAAAAAUUCUCCAUCUGCCGUUUUCAAAAUCAGGUGCCUGUUGCUGGCCCAGCCCUCUGAGCAGGUGUGAGGCUCCACGGGUGACUCAGAGGCAGCCACAGGGCCAUCCUACCUGGAAGGACUUUUGAAAGGGACCCCAGGUGGAGCCCUCCUGCAUUCUGGGGAGGCAGCCCCACUGUGUGCAGUGCAGAGGGCUAUGGCUGGAGACCCCACAGCAUAUGGCCCUCACCUUCCCUGAAACAUCAUAUCCUCCAAGUCUCCGCCUUUGCGGCUGAUGUUACUGUCCUGGUCUGAAUGGCAGGAACAGCAAGGUGCACACGCCUCUUUGGAGGUCCUGGGGUGGGAGAUGGAAGCGACGUGGUAAUGGGUGGAGGUGCCUGAGUAGCUGUGUUCCCAGGGCGAGCCGCUGCCUGUGGGGGUCACAUGGGGACAGGUCUACCCACCUUGGCAUCUCUGUGGGGACCAGGUGAGCAGUUAGGCACUGGCCAGAUGUUCCUGAAGGAUUUCUGUGCCCAUGGCCUUGAUUCCUUUGCUGUGUGUAAUUUGUUCUGCAUCACCUUGCUGUGAAUUUGGGCCAGUUCUGUUGGCCUGGUCUGCUUGUAGUUUCCUGGGUUAAGAAAAAAAAAAAAGGUAAUUGAGCUAAAUUAUCUCUCAAUAUCCUUCCAAUUUUAAACAUUUGGAUCCCCAUCCAUCCAAAGAAGAUGGGAAAGGGCAUGGACACAGAUGGAGGCAGGGGUGGAGAUUCCAUUGUAGCAGAUGGAGAAGCAGCUUGAAGUCCCCGUGUUAGUCCAGCUGCACCCCGUCUUUGCCAGUAGUGGGCAAGUGGCCCCUCUCUCCAGUGCCCAGUGAAAAGUCAGCUGCAGCUAGCUACACAGCCAGCUCCACUUCUGGAGCCCUAGGAUGGGUAUUAGGUGACAUUUUCUCCUGAUGGUGCCUCCUGGUCCCCUCCCACUCCCCUGGUUCCAAGGUGUCUUAUCUGUCCAUCCUGAGUGCCGAGUCUGAGCCAGUGAGGAAUGUUUGCAGAACCUGCAAUCAAGACCCACGCAGAAGAGCAUGUGUCAGCCAGGCUUUACAAACUCUGGCCCAGGGCUCAGGUCUCAGGCCCUGCGCAGGUUGUGUGCCAGGGAUUCCCCUGUCCAGGAACCUGUGCCCUUCAGGGAAGCUGGGGAGAGUGCCCAGCGCCUGGGCAGAGCUGGUCCUGCUCUGAGGGCUGUGCUCGUGGGAGAGGGGCUUGCAGUGAGAGCAGUGACAAUACCUGGGCCCAGGGACGCUUCCCUGAUGGGUGGGGCCUGAGCCCAGGUGUGUGUGGCACAGACCUGGCCACGCAUGACCUCAAGCAGCGUCUGUUCCCUGCUCUCCGUGUCCUUACCUCCAGAGACUCACGUUCUGAAAGAGCAGGACCAGCUUCUCCAGCCUCCUGGUGCAGCCCUGGUGAGGCGCUCAGAAUGGGAAGCGUGGGCCCAACCCCAGCCCCCCGUAGGCCACCGACAGCCUCGGCUUCUUCCUCUCCCGCCCACCCUAGCCACGGACAGUACUGGUAUUGGGUUGGCACCAGGCGAAUGAGGUGUGGAAGGGGUCCUGUGACUCACUGUUAAUUGGGUUGAUUUCUGGUGUUUGAGUGUGCGUGUGUGUGUGUGUGUGUGUAGUGCUGGGGAUGGAACCCAGGGCCUGGCGUCCUAGGCCAUAGCUGUACCACUGAGCCACAUCCCAGCCACUGCCAGAGAGGUUUCAGUCCCUUUCCUGGCCUUCCCUCUGUGCUCCUUCCUGCGAUCUCCUGGCACUUCCUCCUGAUACCUCCCCUCUCAUUUUGGAGGCGGUCCCCUUGGGGGAUGGAGCCAAAGUGAUAUCUGUUAUUUCCCCAGUGGGGGUGGCCUGCUGGCUCUGGGAGCCCCGUGAGAGAGGCGAGGGCUCUGAGGUAAGAGGCAGCACUCGCCCUGGUGGGGUCUGGAGCCCCCUAACCCACUCUCCACUGCAGAGGUGGAGGGGACCUUGACUGAUGGCAGGUGGGAGCCCCGCGGUGGGGCUCUGUCUGGAGGAUCCCAAGUCAGUGCCCCUCGGGCUGAGGUCCCGCCUGGUGCCCACCCUGUGUCUCCCCUGUUGCUCCCUCGCCAGGCUGUCCUGGUGCAGGGCAUUCAGGACAGGGGUCAUCACUGGCACCCACGGGGGCUCCCCUUCCAUAGGACCGGAAGACGUGGGGGAAAUGAGGACAGGAGUGACAAUGACAGGUGUCCUGCACAGGUUCCUCCACUUCCUGUCAGACAGGUGGGGACUUUGGGCUUGGCCAUAAGUGAGGCGGCUGAAGGCCAAGGGGGUCUCCUGAGGGGCUGGGGUGGGGGCAGGGGCUGGGGAGGGACUGGCUUGAGUCAGGGUCUGUUCCUUUGUUCUCAGAUGUCCCUUCCUCACUAGCCUCUGAGGGUGAGAUAAGGGAUUUGAGCCUAUAGUGGAGGGGCAGAGCAGCUUGUGAUAGGGACAGGGGCAGUGCUUUUUCUGUAAUGACAGUUGCUGCUGUUGUGAAUGUCAUAAUCAUAAGUGCCACCAAUACCAUUGCUGCCACUGCUGCUGUUUUGGCUGGCCCUUGAGGGGUCAACCCCUGAUUUUGCAGAAGCAGCCACUGAGGAUCAGAGAGGUUCCUUGACUUGCCUGGGUCACACAGCUGUGAGCCCAGAGAUGGCCCUGCCAGUUGGGCUCCUGCUCUUGUGUUCCCCCUCCCACCUGCCUCUUGCACACACCCACACACCUGAGUGCACACACACCCCUGCACCCCUGGGGCACAGUCAAGUCAAAUUGGGCAAAGACGGAAACAUGGCUCCAAGUGGCAGCAUGGCCUGACCCAGAUGGAGCCGAACACUGGGGCCCCUGAGGGCGGGAAGAGGAGUACCCGUUGCCAAUCGAGCCCUGUUGUCCUCUCCCCGCUGGAGCCUGGGGGCCGCACGUGCCUGGCUCUGACUUCUCAGCAGCUUGACUUCCAGGCUCGUGAGCCUCGCCUGUGUCAAUAUUUUGACUGCACUUGGGACUUCCUGUAGGCAGGGCUACAUGUGGAGCAGCCACGUGAGGCUGCGCGUGGAGGUGCCUCUGUGUCCUCCAGCCCAACUCCUGCCCUUACCGUCCUCAGGAUCCUGGCAGAGCGGUGUCCCCACAUCUCAUCUGGCCUCUGAGCACCCCAUCUGUCCUGCCACCACCACCUCUUAGUGGAGGGACCUGGAUGAGAUGCUUGGCCUCUUGGAGCCUUGGUUUUCUCAUCUGUACAAUAGGCCCCGUGGCAGUUGCCUGGCAGGUUGUUGCCGUGGGCAGAUGGUAAAGAGAACCUUGCUGGAGCCUGCGCAGCAGCCAUCACGUCGGGCUCUUUUCCCUUGUCACCUCACCGUCUGCUUCCCGAGGCUGCCUCAGGCUGCACCUGUGGGGUGGACCUGUGGUCUUGCUCUCCUGUGCAGGGCCCUCCCACCUGCUCGGGACCUGCCUGCCUUGAUUCUGGCUAAUAGUGACCGCGGGGCAAUGCAGGGUGCUGAACCCAAGCUCCGUGCCUCCGUUUCCUCACUUGUGAAACAGGUUAGCCAUAGCUCCCCCUGUCGCAGCUGUGGCGAGGGUCAGUGAAAUACCCCGUGGGCAGCAGCACGCAGAGUCCAGGCUCGGCAAGGGUGAAGUGCGAGUGGCUGUUGUCCUCGGGUCCCGUCCCACUGGUGCCCAGUGAUGUUUGGUGACCCGGGGUACACAUGGGUCCUGGCCAUUGCGCAAGGUUUCCGGGGUUCCAGGUACCAAUGGGAUUUGCCUGUAGGGUUCAGGGGAGGGGGGAGGUGGGAAGGGCUGUGGAGGGGAGAUAAAGGGCAGAAGAGGGCACCAACAGGGUGUCCUGGCCUUCCCUGGUUGUGUGGCACACUGUCCCCUACAUGUACCAGGCUGGGAUUCAGGGCACAGGGAGAUAAGCAGCCAAAGGGUAGUUAAGGGCAGUGCCUGGGAAGGGUGGGGUAGUCAGAGUUGGAGAGUUGGACAGACCAUUCCUGUUGCUGGGGUGGCCUGGAGCCUUGGACAGGUGGACCUUUUUUAUUUCCUAAUUCAUUUAUUGGUUCUAAUCAUUUAUACAUGACAGCAGAAUUCUCUUCAAUUCAUUGUACACAAACAGAGCACAAUUUUUGACUUCUCUGGUCAUAUCCAAAGUAGGGUCCCACCAUUCUGUUGUGUGCAGCUGGUGGCUGCCCUGGCCGAUCCCUGCCCUCCCUGGCCCUGAGCUCACAGAUACCCUUACAAACCUUAGGAGGGACAGGACUGACUCUCAGCUCAGUGCUGGGCCCAGGAGCCAGUGCUUUCCCAUGAACUGCCUUCCCUAGUUCCAGGCCCUGGGGGACGCCCGCUCACUUCACCCUGUCCCCAUCACAGCCUCACCAGGGCAGAAGUUGUCUCUGCCAGAAGUUGGUAGCAUAGCUUGUUGCUGUCCCCAGGACAGCAAUGUCACCUAACACCCUUUCAUGUUGACCUGGGCCCAUGUCCUGCUGAGAUGUGCGGUGCUUUGGUUCUUCUUUCUUCUUUAUUGAGUCUCACUAUGUUGCCCAGGCUGGCCUCAGACUCCUGGGCUCAAGUUUUUCUCCUGCCUUGGCCUCCUGAGUAGCGGGGACUACGGGUAGACACCACCAUGCCUGGCUCUUCUGGCUCUUCUCUGUCUCUGUUGCGGGUCUGCUCGGGUACUGGCGGGGCUGGGCUGUGAUGGAACUGGUGAGAAUUGGCCUCCUCUGCUUCCCAGAGGCAGGAGAGAGUGUGUGGCCUCUCUUUUCCCAGUCAGAGAGAGAGAGAGAGAGAGAGAGAGAGAGGAGAAUUUUAAUAUUUAUUUUUUAGUUUUCGGCGGACACAACAGCUUUGUUUGUAUGUGGUGCUGAGAUUCGAACCCGGGCCGCACGCAUGCCAGGCGAGCGCGCUACUGCUUGAGCCACAUCCCCAGCCCUGGCAUGUCCCUUAUUCUGCCUUCUGCCAAGACAGCCCCUUUCCUCCUGGGGGUGGGUGGGGUACCUUGUACUGGGCAGAAUUCUACCACCCACCAGUUGGGAGACUUUGGGGAGGUACCUUACAGCUGUGGUCCAGUUUCUUCUGUGAAAUGGGCACAGUGGGAAUAAAGCUGGCCCUCUGCAGUCUCGGGCUGUACACCCUCAGAUUCAACAGAACUUGGAUCAAAAAAUUCUAAAAGAAAUUGGAUUUUCUUGCUUCUAUCUGUUUCCUAAACAAUGCAACUAUUUACUAUUUACCUACCAUUGACAUUGUAUUGGGUAGUAUAGGUCAUCUAGAGAUGAUGUAAAUCAUAUAGGAGGGUGUGCAUAGGUUCUCUGCAAAUACUGCGCCAUUUUAUAGAAGGGACUUGAGCACUGGGGAUUUUGAUAUUCUGUAGAAAAUCCUGGAACCAAUUCUGCAGAGAUUCUGAAGGGCUGUAGUGCUUGUCGGUUGUGGUGAGAAUCCAGGAAGCUGGUUCCUGUGCGGGAUUUAACACUCACGCACAUGUGUGUGGGAUUCAUGCCCCUCCUUAGAGAGCAUGGAGCCAUGCAGGGCCUGUAAGUGUUGGUUGAGUGAGUGACUGGAUAGGUAUUAUUCUCUCUCCCUCUUUCACUUUUGUGCUGUAGGUAUUUUAAAAAAUCUGUUGAAAAUGCCACUGGUUGUUACUGAUGAAAUCCUGCAAUUAAGGGCUCCAUUUGCUUAGGCCCACGCAGCUCACAGCCCUGGUUUGCUAGCUUUGAAUGUGGCCAGAGCCAGCGAGGCUCGGUGCCCACCCCUGCCAGCAGCGCUGGAGCGUGCUCAGACGUGACAUGUAUGCCUGUGAAGCUGACAGCUGGCUCAAAAGCAGGGUAUUGGGGUGUGUGUUGGUGGGGGGGGGGCAUAAAUGGUUUUGGAGUGUUGUCACCUUUUGUGCCUUCAUGCUCUGCAAGCAUCUCACCCCUGUUUACCAAGGACAGAGACCUGACUUGACACCACAGCUCCCAAUGCUGCCAAUGCCAUCUCCUUUAUACUGAGAGCUGAACCUUUCUGCACAAGGUGUGUCAGUGAGAGAAACAGAUGAGGAGGGAACCGAGAGGCCCUGAGAGCACCGCUGACAUCAGCCGCAGGAUCCUAGCCAGGAGGCCCCCAGGGUGGCUUCUGUCUGCCUCUCCCAGCUCUUCCCACGGCUGGCUCCUGCUUGUGGGUCAGGUUGCAGACCCCAGACCCACUCCCAGAGAAGCUUCUGGACCUUCCAAUCCAGAGUAGCCCCACCUACUGCCUGGCUGGGUGUGUGCUGGGCGGGAGUGGCUGUGACUUGCUGGCAGGCAGAGGGAAGGAGUAGUUCCCCCAGAGCCACACACUCACCUGCUGUGGCAGGAAUCUGGCGUCCUCCCAGACAGGCAAAGGAGAUCAUGGGGAACUGAGGGGAGUCAUCCACAGAAGUCUCUAAAUUUUGCUUGGCUCUCUGGAUACAGAGUUGAAGGAACCUCAGGCCUCACUUGAUUUUGAGUGGCUGUGAUGAAGGACCCGAGAGAAAGUCCCUGCUAGGGCUGGGGAUGUGGCUCGAGCGGUGGUGCGCUCGCCUGGCAUGCGUGCGGCCCGGGUUCGAUCCUCAGCACCACAUACAAACAAAGAUGUUGUGUCCGCUGAGAACUGAAAAAUAAAUAUUAAAAAAUUCUCUCGCUCUCUCAAAAAAAAAAAAAGUCCCUGCUAGUUGCUCUCCAGAGAACAGCCACACUGUGGGGUGAGGAGAAGCCAGGACAUAUCUGAGGCAGCCUGCUACUUGUGGUCAGGUGAUCACGACACAAGGCCCUUCAGGUCCUGGGGACACCUGUGGGCUUAAAGUGGGCAGAAUCAGGAGUGUUCCAGAAUAAGAGGUCAGGUAGGACAAAGGUGUUAGCAGCACCACUGAGAGCGAGGUGGCUGUCAACACAGGUGUGCCUCCCCAGGGAAUAGGGAUAGUAUGGGUGGGAGGGGAAAUGGGGAGUCCAGGGCAUACAAGCACCCCUACAUUUCCACAGCCAAGCUCAGGUGUUCUGCCCUGAGCCGAGAUACUGACAUGGAGGUGAGGGUGCAAGUCUGAGGGCUGCUGGAGCUUUGGCGACCUUGACCUUGACCUUGACUCUGCCUCUGACUCCUGGAUGGAGGAGGCGGUGACAUUAACUCCUUGCUGGCCGAGGGUACUGGGUCUGCAAAGAACACUGUGUGUGGGGACAUCAAAGCUUUCUAAUCCCCUGGCCUGCUGGGCGUCUUCACACCUCGGUGGCACCUGUGUUCUCAGUUUCCAUGGAAAGAUGGACACUGGGUCUUUUGGGGAGGUGAGAGAGGCACUGGGACCCCAUGGAUGGGAGCCCUUCAGCAUUUCCCCAAGUGCACUGUGAGCAGAGGUCCCCUGCAACGCUCUUGGCUGGGGCGGGAAGGGGACCAGGUGAAGGGUUGGGGAGCAGAGUGUUCAGAAGGCACUGUCCCCGAGUGUGGAUUUACACCUCUGCCACCAGGGAGCUUGGAAAGUUAGGUGUGAGAUCCAGUGGCCUAAUUUUAGACCUUGGGUCUCCAUGUCAAAAUGGCAGCAAGAUAAUCAAAAAGAAAGCUGGCUGCGUGACCUUGACCCCUGUUGAUCACAGUCAAGGCAGUUCCAUGGGGCGAGGAGAGCACAUCUCUGGGCAGGGCUGCCAUGGCUGCCUUUCUGCCUGAGGUGGCCUCUGUGGCACUGGGCCCCUUGGCCGCCUGGGCCCAGGUGUGGCUCUGUGACCAUCCUGAAUUGGCCUCAGGUCCCUGCAGAUGAGGGGCUGUGCUGUCCCCACAGAAGAGCUGUCUCCCUACAGGAGACAGAGUGUGGGGUUAGGGGAGUAGGAGAGGACGGUGGCAGCUGUUUGGGGUGAGACAAGAAGCCCAACCAGCACAUGAGACCACCGUUGACCCAGUUUUGCAUCAGACAAUUCUCUUAGCUUUUAGUGGGACUUCUGAUGCCCCUGGUUGUUUGGUUCUUUUCCUAGUUGAUAGUCUUUCUAAAUUACAUGGGGGCUCCCCGCCUCUUUGGUCCAACCAUUCCAUGUUGACGGAGGUCUCCAGCAGCUCCCUGGUGCUGUCCAGAGCUUGGUUAGGCUCCGCUGGGACACACACCCUCGUGCCCCUGCUGGUGGCCCUGAUGCUGCUGUCCUUCAGGACCCUGUGUGUGUGUGCUAUGUGUCUGCCGUCUCCGAGCUCCAUUGGCCACAGUGUCUCAGCAUCUGGACCCAGUGCGGCCCCGCCCCGCCUCCUGUCUCUGGCUUCAGGUGCAGUGAGUGCCCUGGGCACGCAGUCGGGUUGUCAGACUUGUGUGAAGUGAAGGCAUUGUGACCCGGGGCAGGGUGACGCUGCCCACCUCUGCACUGGCUCUCACUGGUGCCCUUGGUAUAGAUGAACAAGGACACCUAGCAUGAUCCACGUGAACCUGAACCAGGCUUGCUGGGCCUCAAGCUGCACAGUCAACCCCUCCCCCCCACCUUGCUUGCCGCCACACACGGCCAUCUUCUUCUUACCAGUGGAGACGGAGUUAAUUUAUUGUUUUUAAUGAUCUCUGCAGUCAUUAUGUUUAAAAUAUUAAAGUAGAUAAUAAGUGUGCAUGAUAAAAAUCCAAUAGUGCCAGAAGGUGUAUAGCCAAAUGGUUCCCUCAGUUCUCUUUCUCCUGAGCCCCUUUUCCUUCCUGAGAAGUCUCUGUAUAAAGCAUCUCUGUACAGACAAGUGUCCCUCUUUACCCUACCUGUGUGGCAGCAUGACAUUCUCUGUAUUUUCCUUUGGGAUGAUCUUCUAACAAUAGUAGUAACUGACAUUAGUGCUUCCAAAGUGUUCUAAUUAAUGGAUGUUUUAACUAAUCCUUAAAGUCAUUCCACCUCUCAGUGGUUUUUAGAGGUUGUUCACUUUAGCAUCUACUGAUCUGCUUAACUCUUUACAUGGCUGUGUAGUACUUCAUCAUGCAGGUAUAAUUUAUGUACCCAUACUCCCACUGAUGGCCAUUUGAUUUCAACUUUGACUACUAUAAACAAUGCCAAAGUAAACCUCUUUAUUUUACUUAUGAGCCCAUGUGGGUAGAUACACGCAGCGUCUACCUCUAGUCUGGAAUUGCUCUGGGCAUGAUUGUUGAAGGGAGGGAGUGUGUUUGUGAAGGAGCAAGACCCUGGAUUCCUAAGCAGACUGUCCUGGUGGGGCUUGUGCAUGAGAUCUUUGGCCCCUGAGUGCUAUAGGAGUCUCCCAAUUAUGGCUCAGCCCUGUAUCUGCAAAGCCAAUGCAGGUCUCUUGUUCAAAACUCAAUUUGAUCGGUGGCGCGGGAGUCGUACAGGGCCAUCCCAGGAACCCAAGCUUCAGUAGCCCCUGGGACAGUCGAGGAUCAUGUUGUUCUGUCUUGUCCCUCCCUUUGGGCGACAGAGAACUGUGAACAUCCCUGUGCUCUGAGAGUCACGGGAAACCUUCUGGCGGGUGUGUGUAGGGGGGUCUAAUUAGCAUAGAACAUGGUAUUUUGAACUCAGGCUGUCCCUAGAGAGGAGAGAAAGUCCCUGUGCCCAGUUGUGCUGUCCUCUCCCUGUCAGAUGGGUUUUCAGGGACAGUCGCACCACUGUGUGAAGGAGGGUGGGAGGAUUGGGUUUCUGUGAGCAGGCUGUCUUUUCUGUUCUUUCUGAAGAUGGGCAGGGUGUGUGGCACUCUGCCGUGUUCGUGCCCCCUCUCCAGCCAGCACCGUCUCUGGAAGGGAGCAUGGGGCGUGAUAUGGACAUGCAGGUGCCCACUGGGCUUGUGGGCUCAGAAUGGUCAUGUGGCCCUAGGAGGACCUGCCUCCUGUCUGCUGGGCUGGACAGAUUGUCACUGCAGUGGACUCUGGCUGUUGACCCUUGGUUGUGAGGCAUUAGCCUCAGGGAGCUGGGCAGAGGCAUAUGGAGAGCGCCCUGUGUUGUCUUUGCAGCUUUUCUGGAAAUCUCAAAGUUUUCCAGAAUAAAAGAUCAUUUCAAAAAAUUACUGUGGCUGCUUGUCACCAUGCAAGGUCUGCACCACUACCCGGGUGGGGAGUCCUGAUGAGUGUGCCCCUGGACAUAGGCACAGGGCUUGGGCAUCUUAUGGCCCAGGUGGUCCCCCAGCCUGCUGACCAAACAGGCCCUGCCUCUGACUCGUUAAGGCCUGUACCCACUAUAAAGCCCUCAGGGACUCUGGGGUGACAUGCUAACCCCUGGAGGGACUGGGGGACACCCUCUGUAACCUGCCUCUUACCACCUGGCCCACUCCUGGCCCAGUCCCAGCUCUCAGCUGCCAUGUUCCCUCCUUCUGCCUCUCCACCCCCCACAUCCCAUUUUCCUUUGUCACACUGUGAAAUGCACCACACAGUAACAUUGUUGUCACAUAUACAGCGACAUGAUAUUUUAGUGGAGCUGAAAAAAUUUUUAUUGCCUGCUAUUUUUGCAGCACCUUUUCCUAAACGUUUAGAUGUAUUUAGGGACAUAGAGACCAUUGUAUUUCAGUGGUCUUCAGGGUUCAGUUCACUAACGCGAUGCUCAGGUUUGUCGUCACCGAGGAGCAGUGGGCUAGCCCAUGUAGCCAAGAUGUGUUCCAGGUUGUACCAUCUCACCUGGGAUGUUCCCACAAGAAAUUGGCCAUUGAUGCAUCUCGGAAUUUAUCCCUGCCAUUGAGCCAUGUGUGACUCUGUUUCCUCAGAGUUCAUGUGUGGAUCAUAGGGUGAUUUUGAUUUCUCAAGUGCCUUCCUUUGGGCUCUGGCUUCUAUCAUGGGGAGACACCUGCUCCCUAAAUAUGAACCCUAAGAUACCUGCUCUCAGUUUCUCUCCCUUGCUGUAGCCCAGGCACUGGUGAUUACUGGAGACCAGGCGCCCAGGGGAGCAGUCACUGGGCAGGGGUGUCACCUUCCAGGCUGGCACAGAUGCACAGGCUGGGCUGUGGGAACCAUGUAGGGACCAGCCAUAAUGCACCAGGACUUUUUUUUCUUUUCUUUUUUGCAGUGUGGGGAUGGAACCGAGAUGUGCUCUACACUGAGCCCCAUCCCUAGCCCUUUUUAUUUUUUAUUUUGAAACAGCUUCUUGCUAGGUUACCCAGGCUGGCCUUGAACUUAUGGUCCUCCUGCCUCAGCUUCCUGAGUCACUGGGAUCACGGGUGUGUGCUACCAUGCCCAUCCGCACCAGGACUUUUGCACAUCAUAAUCAUGACAUUUCUGUGCCUGGAAGGCCCUUCUGUAUUCUGCAUGAUGUCUCCUUUUCACUCAUUGGGACUGAGAAUGAAGAUCACCCUCCAUGACUGUCUCAACCCUAAGUUAUUCUUUCUCCCAUUACCCCAUCCCUGGUCAUAAUGUGGCAUCUGUGCUCUGCAGACAAGAGGCCUCCCAAGGGCACCUGGCCUGUUCUCCUUAGUGCCUCAGUUUGUCCCAUGGCAGCUGCUGCCUGGUGGCCUGAAGAACAGGUGUGUGCAGGGUUGGGGGCUCUGCAGCGUGGAAGUCCUAGGCCACAGCGUGAUGCUCACGGACAGGUCUGGACUGGUUUGCAGAUGUCUUGCUUUGCCUUGGCAGGUGUGAAAUAGCAGGUCGGACCUCCUUGCCUGUGGAAUCACUUCUCAUUGACUUAAUUAUCCUGCAUCAACAGUGAAGCUGCUAAUAGGGAACAUUGGGUGCCCUGAGGAGGAGUGCCACCUUGCUCAAGAGCGUGCUUGAAGGGUGGAGGGUGGGAGGCCACUUGGCACUUCAGAAAGGCAUGUCCUUAGCUGGUUGCAGGUUUGUCCUUCAGUCACUUGGACUUAAGCAGAACCUAGUCCCCGGCCACUUCUUUCUUUUCUUAAAAUAAUAGGAAAAGGAAGCCCAUGGGGCAGGGGACUGGGUCAGCACUCAGCAAACGGAAUAACUUGUCCCAGCGACUCUGGGACUGCAGCUGUGAGGAUAAUGAGGUGCCUUCCUGGGCAUAUAAUCUCAGCAAUUAUGCAGAGCUCAUUGGAAAUUGGCGAACUGCCUCCAAGCUGAGAGCCCUGGUGGGCUACUGAGGACCUGCCUAUCCCUGGGUCUCCUGCUGUGCUGCUUCUCUGCCUUGAGAGUGCUCAUGGAGCAGGAGCCAGGAGGCCAGGUUCCCUCCAGGGCGAACCGUGCGGGAGGCUGCUGGCUGGACAGGUUGUGGGGAGGCAAAGCCAACUUCCAGAAGCUUCACACUGCUGCUCAGAGCUCUGCGGGUGCUGUCUCCUCCUCCGGUGGCCUCGGCGGUCUUAGCAGAUGGAAGCACUGAGGAUUGCUUAGAUCCUGUCACACCCUGACCCCUUGGAUGGGCUAUGUGAGGCUCACUGUGGUUUGAAGUUUGCUUCUGAAAAUGGGGUGGAGAGGACCCCUGGAAGGGAGCCCAGGCCUUGUGAGUCUGUACCUGGUGGGUCAGGGCUGCUGGUCAUCCCCCGGGAUGUGGUGAAGAGGUGAGCCCUGCCAGGCCAAGGUGGUUAUAGUAGGCCAUGCCCCACCUGGCUGGGCAUGUGCUCUUCACUGGUGCUGAGAUCUCCUGUUUUACUCCAUUAGUAAUGACUUUGGUGGCCUCGGGUAACACCGUCAUCAUAGUCCUUUGCAAAUGCAGGAGUGGUACUGGCUUUGAGCACCUCACUUAUCAGGGAUUCAGUCAGUACUGCUGCAGACUUCCAGAAAGGUGGUGAGAGGCCUGGUCCCUCCCAGUGAGGUCACAGGCUGCUGAGGAGGUGAGAUGGGUACAGAGAACGCAGAGCUCGGAAGCUGGCAUGCUGGGAGUGAGGCCCAGGCAGGGGGGCCGGGGGGAUGCAGAGAGAGAGAUGGAAGGAGACAGGCACCCUGAGGGCCAGAGAGAUUGUAGCAGGAAGGACCAGGCAAGGGAAAGAAUGAUUUUCAGGCAGAGGGGGGUUUAACUGGCAGAUCUGAAGCACAUAGAAAAGUAGAAAAAAAUAAACUACGCACUGGGCUUCUAGAACAUCUUGUGUUUGCUGACAUCAUAGACACCCGGACAUGUCCUUCCUCAACAUUUCAGUGUAGUAUUCCUAAAACUAAGGACAUUUCCUACUUCAGCACAACUUCAUUAUCUCAAAAGAGAACAUUUUGAGCAAAAGUUUGGAAGCAAGCAAGAGUAGGGGUUGUUCUGGAAUGGAAGGAAUGAGUGAGUCAUGGAUGUACCAGGCCCUCAGAGGGACACGAGGAGUCACUCUGGGUCUGUUGUCAAGAGGUACAGUGUCUGGAGGAGGAAAUGGAGCCGAGACGGGGGCCUAGGACAGAAGAGCCGGGUUGUGUGUGCGGUGUCUGUUCCAAGGAAUGGUCCUGGGGCUGGGAUACUCCAGGGUGGGUGGACGCAGGGUGUCCUGACCUGGCAGCACAGCACAAUGCAGGCAGGCAGAGGGCAGGCAGCAGGCUCCUGUGGGUGGAAUGUGCCCGAGACCAUGAGGUGCCUGGGUACCCAGGCUGCACAGGGGAGCAAAACCAAGUUAGAGGUGGGCUUGGAUGCUAGAGGGUAGGAGGCUCGGAGGUGGCUGGUCUGUUUGUUGUUAGGCCUUAUAUGGGGACCACGUGGGUGGGUGGGUUCCCUCAGAAUGCUCUUGAAUGGCCCCACUCUGUUCUGCACCAUGUCAAGUGGGCUGGUUCCGUCUCUGAGAUCCUGGCUCCAGCCCUGCCCAACAACCCCAGUUCCUGGAUUUGCCCUGGAGAGGUCCAGUGGCUUGGAAAAGUGGCCCCCAACACAUGUGUUAAAGGCUUUGUCCCCAGCUUGGUGCUUUUGGGAAGUGGUGGGGCCUUUAGAGGUCUUCAGACUGAGGGGGCAUGUUCUUGAGGGUAUUAUGGACACCAUCCCCUUCUCUCUCUCCUUCAUCACCUGGCCAUGGGAGGAGCAGUUUUGACCUUUCACAUGCUCCCACCAUGAGGUCCCACCACAGACCCAAGCAAUGGGGACAACUGACUAUGGCCUAAAACCCCUAAAACUGUAAACCAAGCAAGCCUUUUCUCUUUGUAAGUCAAUUGCUGUUGAUAUUUGUGAUUGUGAUUCAGAGCUGACUAACACAACAGGGGUGCAUCCUGGCAAAGACACAGGGACCCAUAGGCCGCACAGCCUCAUAAUGGCUGCCCAUGUGGGAAGCUGGGACUGAGUGGCCUGUUGGAAGAGGAAAUGCCAGGUCUGGGUCAUGAGGGCCAGGGGCCCAUGCUGGUUUUGUUCUGGAGUAGGACAGCCCAGGAACUGUUCACUUUUCAUUGCUGGGACACAUCUUUGCUCCUUCUUUCCCAAAACCCAUCCUCGAGUCCCUUGGUGGAUGCACUGUAGCUAGGGAGGUUUUGGGACCAGUGUGAUAGCUAAAAUGCUGGUGUUUCUGCCCCAAUUUCACACAUGGAUGGAGUCAGGAAUUGGAGGAGGAGGCCCUAUUUUGCCGUGGUAUUGAAAUAAGUGUCUUUUCUGUUCAGGGAGCUCUAGGGAGUCAGAGCUGGUUCAGUUGUGAGGGCAGCUCUUCCAGCUCCCUAGCCCUCUGUGUGCGAGAACACCAAGAUGUGACCUGGGAAGAGCCAGCAGGAAGGAGGGCAGGCACAGUGUUCCCACGCCCCAGCUGUGUGGCUUUUGUGUUACUUAACCUCUUUGUGCCUUUGUCUCCCACUUGUGUAUAAGAGAAAGUCCCUUCCUUGUAGGCAGCCAGGAGGAUUUUGGGAAGUACCUUAUACCCACUGAAGUCAGCCAUCCUGACCCCCAACCCCGCUCCCCAUCGCCAGCCAUGCCUGUGCCCUCAAUGGUCACCGUAGGAGGCACAGAGACUUCUUCUAGCAAGACUGUAUUGUUGAGAUGCCUCAAAACAGGAGCUCUAUCUAGGAGUCCUUUGACAAAGAUUUUCAUCAACACGAGUAACUGAGUCACUAGGGUCAUAUCUCAAAAAUCAUUUGCACGAUAUCAAGCUCAGAGGUUGUGUUUGGGGGUCUGAUUUUGUCCUUUCCAUGUGAACUGGCCUUGCAGCCAUCUCCCACUCUGGUCCCAGGUAGUGUGAGCCCCUUCAGGGACCCCUUCAAAGGGUGGUCACAUCCAUCCGUAGCUCUUCAGGGCCAUAGGCAGCUCUGGCUGGGGCCCCCACUUUAAGAAGGGCUACACACUGUGGAAGGACAGGUCCUAUACUGACCCUGUCAUCUCAACUUGUUCAAUUCGCAGAACGGAAAUGUGCUCACACAGCAGCCACGGGCCUGAGAAAGGCACUAGAGGGGAGGCAGAGGGCUGGGGAGUGAAGGGACACCCCAGGUUAGAGNGAGCUCUGAGCCCCACUACCUUGCAGAGCCUUGUGCAUAUGAAGAAGUCCCAGAAGCCCCAGCAGUUGGCGUCCUUUCUGGAAGAUCCAAGCUAUCAUUUCUUACAUGACAGAAAUCCUUCCAAAACACAGGCAGCCCCUGCUCUGGACCUUGGUGCCCUUGCUGUGGCUCAGCUUGCUCCCCCUGGAAGGCCAAGGAUAUUCCGCCAAUCCCAUGGGCGCCCAGUGUGGGAAGCAUCAGCCAGGCAGGUGGGUGGAGGUGGCACUGAGGCAAGGCCCCAGAGGUGAUCCCAGGAGGCUGCAGUAAGUUGAGAGCACAUGGUGCACUUAUGAGGGCUCACCUGAGCUGGCACCGGCCAUUCCAGGCCACGGUCCCACGAACUGUGUGACAGCAGCCGCAGACACUGCUCUAGCGCCUCUUUCUGGAUUAAUUGCAAGAGCUCUCAAUUAGGCCAACCACUUUUCCUCAGCACAGUGCUUAUCUUAAAGAAUAACAAGAUUAGCUGUGCCCUCCGGGCCCCAUGCUAACACCCAGGGAGCUUUGCUGGCCCCAUAGGACCUUUUGGAGGCAGUGCCGGGCAGGUGGUACAUAGGGGCUGGAUCAGGUGACCAUGGCCUCUCUGGUUGGCCUUGGAGUCAGGCCCAGCAGCUUGUUCCUCUGGGAAGGAAUUGUAGGGGGUGGGGGACUUUCUGCAGUGGCAGACCAAGCUGGACUUCCUGCUGCAGGUGCCCCGGGCACAGUCCCCUUCCUGUCUCAGUAGCUGCACGUUCUUGAGCUUCAUCUCUGAAGCUGAGAGUCCUUGCCUGAACAAUGAACACCACACUAUUUAGCUCUGGAGGCCUUCAGCCCUCUGUGCUCACCGAGUAGCAGCCCAGGCAGGCCACUCCCUCAGGGAGUGGCUGCUGGCUUGUGGAAGUUGGGGCUGGGGACCAGGCCCUGGGGAUGAAGCCCUGUGGCAUCUGAGUGUCUACACCUCCACGGCUGAUGAUCCUGGGGCCUUCUGUGCCUUCUUUCCUGGGAGAUGGAUUUCCCUUGCCUGGCUGAGUAGAGACAGCUGCAUUUCCACGGCCACAUGCCCAGGCCCCGAUGAACCUCAGAGGGUUCCAUGCUGCUCUCGCCCCAGAGGAUGAGCAGCCUGGGUCGUGGGGAUGCAUGAAGCUAGGGGAGCAAGAAGAGCCCAAGCUCUGGAUCAGGGGCCUUGGCCAAUCCAAGGUGACCUUGGGAAGCCAUCACACUUGCAGAUGUGUGAAGAACAUCUUUGCAGGGUUCUGGGAGGGAGCAGCCAGCCUGGAGCCUGGUGCCUGGCACCUGCCUCACGUGACACUCCAGACAGCAGCAGGCUGAGCACGGCUCUGCUGACAUCAGCAGCAAUCCUGUCAGUUGGAAUAAACACAGUUAUAUAGUCAGCCCCCAAGCCCCUCGGUGGGCCUGUCCGAUUCAGUGGAGCCUGCUUCCUCAGCUGCCCGGGUAUCUGGGCACAGCAGGUGUGGUGGUUGGAAAGAGGGAAGUGGGUAGAUAAGUACAAGGCAGUGGAUUCUCUCCCUGCCCAUUCAUAUUUAUAAUCAGUGAACAUUUAUUGAGUGUAUGCUUCAAGGUGCUCAGAGGAGAACACUUGGGGAGACUCAUCUGCUUGCCAGUGAUGAGUGUUUGGUGUGCCAGGUGCCCUCUGGGUGCCCUGAAGGUGCAGUCUCACCUGCAUCUUCUGAGUCCUGGGGGAAGGGGCUGUGCUGGUGGGGGCUGUUGAGGGAGGUGGUGAGGGGAUGGCAUGGGGAGAGUGGGACCAGACCUCACGUCCUCUUGUUCUAUACCCACUUGGAUGUGGGACCUCUUCUGAAUGUCCCCUAGCUCCUGCUCUGCCCAGACACCACAGGUGACAGGAUCUGCUUGGUAUCAGCAGGUGGCUGUGGCUUCAGUUGCUGGUUUGGGGAUCCUGGCUCAAUCAAGCACCUGCCCCUCCUCCUGCUGUACACCAUGUGCGCCGCCUGCAUUCAGUGUCUGAGCCCCAUGCUCCGGGCAGAGCUGCGGGGGCAGGUGCUGGAGCAGACCCGCAGCUCACCUGGGACACCCUCCCUUGCGCCCGCCCCAUCGGCCCCCAUGCUGCCCAUCCUCUCGCUGGGGAGGGGGAGGUCUUCUGCUCUCCUCCCCACCUGGAUCCCUCCAGGCCUCCUGCCACCAUCCUCAUCCCCACCUAUGCCCCAAUGCCCGAUCCUGCCCCCAGUCCUUUAGGUGGUGCCCUACUUCUCAGCAUGAAGUUGUGCCCUGUCCUUUGAGCCCCAGAAGGAGGGCAGCAGCUGCCCUGCUCAGCAAUUCUCUGAGUAGCUCACACCCUAUGGCCAUUUGGGUGGAGGGCUGGACACGGAUUAGCUGGCAGCCAGCCACCCACUGGGAGAAAUGAAAACUCGAGGCCACGUGCAAACCCAUCUGUGGACUUCCCUGCAAAGUGUUCAAUCCCACUCCAGCCAACCAUGGUGCAUGCACACCACAGAACCUUCCAUGGCCCCCUAAAGGACAAAGCCAUGGAUCCACACGACACCCUGGACACAGUGCAGGGGCAUCAUGCAAUGGAAAGGGGCCAAGAGUGCAUGAUUCUAUUUCCUGGGCAUGCUGGAAAAGAAAAAGGGGGGUGGUGGUGACAGAGGACAGGGACAGGGUGGGGACGACCUGGCUGCUCAGGUGUAGACAAUUUUUAAAAGGAUGGAUGAAUCCAUCCCUGUAUUGAUCAAGUUGUCUAUGUGACCAUAUCCAUUUGUCCAAAUCACAGAACUGUACACUUAAAAGGAUGUGUGAAGAACAUCUUUGCAGGGUUCUGGGAGGUAGCAGCCACCCUUACAUACAUUUUUACUGUACGUAAAUUUUGCCUCAAAAUCUGACCUAAAGUUUUUUGUUUGUUUUUUGUGUUUUUUGGUACUGGGAUUGAACUUAGGGGCACUUGACCACUGAGCCACAUCCCCAGCCCUAUUUUGUAUUUAAUUUAGAGACUGAGCCCUGAGCCCCAUGCUCCAGUCUCACUGAGUUGCUUAGUGCCUUGCUUUUGCUGAGGCUGGCUUUGAACUCAUGAUCCUCCUGUCUCAGCCUCCUGAGCCACUGGAAUUACAGGUGUGAGCCACCAUGCCUGGAUUGAUGUAAAGAUUUUAAAAUCCCUUCUUCUAAAAUCACAUCUUUCUUUAGGGGGAAAAAAACCAUUUUGCCGACAGUAGAACUCUUAGCAUGAUGAUGUUGAUACGACCAAUGUGUGUUGCUGCCCCGAGCCCCCCAGGGAUGCUCAUAAAGCCCUGCUUGGAAACCCGCUGGCUGCUUAUCAGGCCCCUGCGUAUCCAGACAACCAGCCUGUCGCUCACUAGAUACUUUCAAAUUUCCUUUCCAAGGCAGGCUGAAGUCCAUGUAAAUAUUGACCAAAGAAGGCAACCCGGGGUUUGCCCUGCACUUGGUUAAUAGUUGAAGAGUCACUCCUGGGUUAUUUUUCCAGUACCUUUGAACAGGUGGGCCUUCUUUUAUUUAAAAUAAAAAGUCUAAAACAGCUACAUAGAAACCAAACAGGAUAACCGCAGUAGAAACCCCUCCGAUUUCAAUGGAUCUGAGCGAAUCCUUUGAUAAAGCAGUGACCUCUCUUGUCCUCUUUACUGUAUUUAUUAAGGAAAUUCCUAGUGUCUAUUUGAUUUGCCUCAGUGAGGACUUGUCUCACGUGCGCAGCCUCCCUUUGUCCUAGCCUGGGGCUCUCUGGGUGCACGAGACUGUCCGCUUUGGAGAAGCCACAGUGCAUCAGUGGAGUGGCAGAGUCUCUAGGUGGCUUCACGGCUUCCUUGUCAAGGUGUGCACAGGCACCCAUCUAUGGCACCCUUCAUCUACCACUGGGGACUUGAGGGUCCCUGAGUGCUGGGAAUCAGAAAUCAGGAUGGGCCACGCCAUGGUUCUAGCAGCUAUGCUGUCCUCUCCUGAGGUUGUUGACCAGCUGACCACUCCCUGUUCCUUUCUGUCUGGGUAUCCCCUGCAGGUGGUGGGAUAAGGCCCAACUCAAGUCAAAGUCAACCAACACUCCCUGAGUCCUCUGGAAGGUUAGGUGAUGGAAGGACACCUAAUUGUCUAAUGGUCCAUGCCGGCCUGGGCCAGGCACCACCCCCACCUCAAAUUCCCCUCCCAGGAGAUCAAGACUCAGUGAGAAAGAAUAAGUGACUCAUCUAAGGCCACCCAUGGGAAGGGGCAGAACCACAGUCUAGAUGCAGAUGUCUGCCCUCCCCACUCUACCAGCUCCAAGAGCUGGGUGCCAGAUUGAUGGCUGAGCUUGGGGACAUGUCAGAGGCUCACCUGCCUUGCCAGGCCCUGGGGCGGGGCCUUUGGUCUCUGGAGGCAUGUGUGGCCCUUGGCUCUCCUCUUCCCCCUCCCUGUCUUGUCUUUCCUCCUGUUUCCCCCAAAAGAUAAAUAUCAGGAACAGAGGAGCAGGCCCCAAGGUGGAGCAUGAGUAGUGGACAGGAGAGCAGUCCACACAGUGUGACCCUGUCUGAGGCCAGUGUUGGAAGAGCUCGCUGCAGGCUUCUGGGGCCCAGGACUGGGCCUGUGUGUCGGGAGGAGCUGCAGCCUUCUGCCAUCGCUGGGCCACUGAUCCUCUUGCAGGGGUGGGCCUGGGGACAUUUAAGGACAGGAUCUGCCCUCGUGGGGGAUCUCAGCAGAAAGGAAAGGGGCAAGGCCCAGAACGGGUUCUUUCAUGGGGGCAAGGCAGGUAGCUGUGGGGCCCUGUGUCUGGGUGGUCGGCAGGGUGCCCUCCUCUCUCCCUUCUUUCCAGGGCAGCCCUGGCCCAAUAUUAGGGACUGGUAUCUUUAUAAGCAGGAAGGGGAUCAAGUGCAUCAUCACUGCCCUAAAUCUCUCAAGUCACUGCCCUAAAUCUCUCACACAGCUGACAUCCUAUUCGCACCCUCCCUGGCCUGCAAGGGAGUCCUGCAGCCACACUGGAUUCCACAAGGCCAUGGCCUCAUCUAGAGGAGAAGCCCCCAGGGGUGACGGGCUCUCUUGAGGGGAGGGUGGUGGGAAGUGAGCCCUGAGAACUUCCCUGCCCGGUCAAGAAGGGAGGGCUCCUCGCCAUUAUCCCUCUACCCAAACCACCAGGAGCCAACUGCAGGGUGGGGGGGUGCUUCCACAAAUGCCCCCUUUCUACUCUGUCCUCAGCAGUGGAGUGUGAAUUUUUGGUGGAGGUGACAGUGGGACCCUGAGGCCCUCCUAGCCCCAGGAAGAAAGGUUGGGAAGCAUCUGUAUGUGCUUUGGACCCAAGGCACUGGCUCUUCUGAGGUACUGGGGGCUGCUGUAGGAGGCCUGUGACCUUGGCCCAAGUGUGUUGGGUAAAGCUCAGGUUGGAGACUUGGUAGGGGAAAUGGGGCUCAUCGAGUGUGGUCUUGGGCUGCUUGUCCUUGAUCAGCCCUUCCCUCCAGGAAGCUGGUCCGUCAGAAGGCUUUGGGGUCAUGUGGCGCUGCCCGAGUGCAGCUGCUGCCAGGCCUCCUGGGUGGGCAUCUCUGUACUGAGGGGUGAAGCGGGGCUGGGUGGACAGCAGGCUGUCCUGGGGGUAGGGGUCACUGCAGAGCCUCCCUUUCAGAGCUAGGAGUCCCUGGGAAUGCUGGGGGCCAAGCCCAGGAGGGGCCACAACUGGAGCCAGACCCUGGUUUGAAUCCAUUUGCCCACUGUGUGCCCUUGGGCAAACUCUUCUAUAAAACACCCCCACAGAACCUGAGGGAAGAGGGGAGCCCUCCCUGGCUCUUCAAUGAGGACCUUAACCUGAAGGAAGCUGGGACCUGGCCAAGCUCACAUGGUCAGUGAACAGCUGCACAUUGCUGUUUCACUUUUUAUUUUGACCCCUCCACCACUGUGCCUGUUAGGAAUGAGCUCAUGCUGGGGCUGUGUCCCUCUUGUUCCUCUAUCCUCUGCACCUCUCCCGGGCCACCGUCCCUUCUCUCCUUCCCCUCCCUCUCCCCUCUCUUUUGCCAGAGUGUUUUAAAGCAGAUCCUGACACCAUGUUAUUUUAUCUCAUGUGCGUGUGUGUGUGUGUGUGUGUAGUUGGACACAACACCUUUAUUUUUAUUUAUUUAUUUUUAUGUGGUGUUGAGGAUCAAACCCAGCACCUUGCACAGGGAAUGCUGAGCCACAACCCCAGCCCUGAAAUAUAGAAUUUCUAAUAGAUAAGGACUUUAAAAACCAUAACUGUGAUACUUUACCACAUUUCAAAAAUUAAUAAUUUCAUUUUAAACAGGUUUGUUGAAGAAUACUACAAACAGCACCUAUGUGAAGUGAGUUUAAUCCAAGAAGCCACCUCUUUUCCAUGAGAGUUGUGAACAUUUUCAUUGCCCCCCAAGUGUCUUUGAGUCCCUUUGUGGUCCCUCCCUCUUGCUCCAUCCUGCCUGCUCCCCUUACUCAAGUUACCACUGACCUGUUUUCUGUCACUAGAUGUAGUUUGCAUUUGCAAGUAUUUUUAUAAAUGGAAUCAUCCAGUAUAUACUUUUUUUUUUUUUUUUGGUCCAGUUAAUAAAUAUUUAUUUUUUGGUACCAGGGAUUGAACCCAGGGGCACUAAAGCACUGAGCCUUUUUUAUUUUGUAUUGUGAAACAGAGUCUCACUCAGUUGCUUAGGGACUCCCUAAAUUGCCAAGUCUGGUUUUGAACUUGCAAUCCUUCUGCCUCAGCCUCCCCACAGACAUUACAGGCAAGCGCCAUCCAGCCUGGCCUGCAUUGUUACUUUUUAUAAAUAAUUGACUAUUACUGUAUCAAUAGUUCCCUUUCAUUUCUGAAGAGUGUUGUAUCAUAUGGAUAUAAAGUAUCUAUAUACAGAAUGGAUACAGUGUAGGUUGUUUACUCAUUCGCCUGUGGCUGAACACCUGGGUUGUUUCCAGUUUUUGACUAUUUGGAAUAAAAUUGCUGGAAAUAUCCAUGUUCAAGUCUUUGCUUAGGCAGCUGCUUUCCUCAUUCUUCAGCAAAAUACCAGGAGUGGAGUGGCUGGGCCAUUUAGUAGAUGUGUGUUUAACUUUUUUUUUUUUUAAUAUUUAUUUUUUUAGUUUUCAGCGGACACAACAUCUCUGUAUGUGGUGCUGAGGAUCGAACCUGGGCCGCACAGACGCCGGGCGAGCCUGCUACCGCUUGAGCCACAUCCCCAGCCCGUGUGUUUAGUUUUUUAAGAGACUACUUUUGAAAGUGCUGGACCUUUCUACUUUUUGAUCAACGGUUGCUCUGCUCCUGUCCAGCCUUGGUGUGGUUAGUCUUUUUAUUUUUAGCCACUCUAGUGGGCACACAUUUAUUUUGUUAUUAUUGAGUUUUAGGAAUUCUUUCUAUAUCCUGGAUAUGAGUCUCUUAUCAGAUAAAUGAUUCAUGGGCAUUUUCUCCCAUUCUGUGGGUUGUCUCUGUAUUUUCACAAGGGUCCUUUGAAGCACAAAAGCUUAAUUCUUUGAAAUCUACUUUAUUUAUUUUUUUUCUUUGGUUGCUUGUGAGAAACCAUUGCUAUGCUGAGGUCAGAAAGAUUUACAUCUGUUUUCUCCUAAGAGUUUAUAGUUGCAGCUCUGACAUUUAGGUCUUUGAUUCACUUUGAGCUAAUUUUUGCAUAGGUGUGAGGUUAAGAUCUAGCUUCAUUCUUUUGCAUGUGGAUAUUCAAUUGUCUCAGUGCUACUGGUAUCCAGCCAAUGCUACAAUAUUCAAUUGUUUCAGUAUGCUUGAAAUCAGGAGUGUGAGUUUUCCAACUCUAGGUCUUCUCAAGAUUGCAUUGCCUAUUUUGGGAACUUGCGUAUCCAUGUUAGGUUCUGCUUGUCGAUUUCUAUGAGGAAGCCAGUUGAGAUUCUUCUGCAUCUACUGAACGGUUUAUCCUGGUGUGCACAGCACCACCAUAAGUAGACAUCUGCCCCUGCCCUUUUCUGCUGAGUCAUUCUUCAGGGUGGGGCUGCCUGUUCUCUACUGGCCCACCUGGGGGUGAGCUCCAUUCUUUAUACGAUGUUCCAGGUAGAGCUGGAGCUAGUACUAGAAGCCAGAGCCCCUGCCUAGUCAUCUGUUGGACUUGUUUCUCAAGGUUCUCUCUUCCUCCUGCUCUUGUAAAUUGGGGGUGGGAGGUUAAGCAGUAUGAAGAGGCAAGAAUGCUGAUUGAGCAGACCCAUCCUGCACCGUAGGAUCAUGGGAGAUCCUCGUACCCCCGCUCCCCAGCCACAGCCUCUCAGAUGUGAAGCAAGCUUGCUCAACGCAUUGUCUAGCAAACUCUGGUUGGCAGAGGGCUCUGUGUCCUGGCUUCCCCAGUGUGAUCUGGGUCCCUCUCUCAGGCAGUCAAGUGCAAAUGUAACUGUAUUGCAGGGGGACACCUUGUGUGUACCUGGACAAUGAUUCGCUCCACAAGCUGGUGGAAACAGCAGGUAAUUACUGUCAAAAGCUGCAGGCGAGCUGUGUCCUGUGACAGGGCACUUGAGCCGUGUGCCACGGAACAUCGUCACUGAUGCUGUCCUUGCUGCUGCUGUUGCUGUGCACUGGAGGGGGCUGGGCACAGGCUCACUGCUCCAAAGAGGAAGAGAUAUACAGGCCUCGAGAGGGAGCCUCGGCUUUGUAUACCUGGAAGGACAGUGUGCACCUGGGUAUCAGGGAAAGGGCAGGUGGAAGUGAGGCUACUUGGGGUGGAAGCAGAGAGGGGGUAGGUGGUCGAGGGAGGAUGGGGCAAGAGCUCAUUUGCUAGUCCAGGGGCUCACCUAGCUCAGUAGGGAUUGGGCUCACGGCCCCACUCCUGGCUGUGUGCACCUGCUGUGUUUGAUGGUGUCAUGUCAACCUUUGCUUCAGGUGAGACAGGAAGUGCACCUCAGAUGAGCUGUUCUCAUGCUGCUGGGCUCUCUGGGGCUGGUGGGACCAUCUGGUGGCCUUGGCAGCCUCAGGCUGUCCCUCCAGUGGGCCCCAACAGACUCCAGAGCCCACCUCCUGCUGCCAGAGGAGCCCCGAGUUUCUUGCUCCAAAGGAACCUGUGUUUCAGGGGGCUUGGGUUGAGAUGAGGGAGAGAGAAGAGCCAAGUAAGUGCCCAUAGGGGAUCUCCCCCACUCUGACCCCUGUGUGUCACUCUCACCUAGGAAGGACUGUGAUCUAGUAGUCUCACACUGUGCCUUUCUCUGGGGGCCUCCUCCCUCCCUUCUUCAUGGGGCCUCAGGGCUCCUGAAUAGUCUCCAUUUCCUCCUGGCCAACCCCACCCUAGAGGCCUGGCUCACUGGGAUGUGCAACCUGUGGUCUCCCUGUGUCCCCAAGACCCUCCUCAGUGGCAGCUCCAGCACACAGAGGCAGGGUGUGUCAAGCAGGGUCUGAUUUGUGAAACCAUGGCCACAAUUCACCAGGGAGUGUGGCAGGCAUUCAGAGGCAUAAGCAGGUUCUGGCUGGGGCCUGGUGCUGUUAGGACGUUCAGGGGCAGCUCAAGGGAUGGGAAGUGAGUGAAUAGGAUUGGGGACGGGGGGGGGGGGGGGGAGGGGGGGGGGGGGGGGGGGGGGGGGGGGGGGGGGGGGGGGGGGGGGGGGGGGGGGGGGGGGGGGGGGGGAAGGCCCAGCUGCAGCCAGGAGGAGCUGGGGACAAAUGCAGGAAGGCAGAAAGCAAUCAGGAGUGCUGAAUCCGACUGCACCAUCUGAGUGGAAGGGACCAGGCUCUCUCUUUGGUUCUUAUGGAUGCUUUGAAGCUAAUGGAAGACCCGACUCUUCCCCAGCAAAAGUUGCAGACACACAGCCUGGAGUCUAGGGCUUCAGUUGGAGAUGGUCGCAGACUGUGCAGCAUGCCCCAGGUGCAUGGCUGUGACCCCUAGGCUGGCUGUGAGGAACAUGGCUUUUUUCUGAGGAGUUCAGAUAGGAUCCUGGGACUAGAGCUGGGCUUUGGGCCAAUUUAGCAAUAGAAGGAAGCAGAGUGGGAGAGGAGGAGCUCUAUGAGGUCAUUCAGGGGUGGCUGGGAAGGGGGAGGACCUGGCUCCGAAUGCACCUGGUGCCCCAGUGUGGCUUGGGCUUUCUGUCAUCUCCCUGGUGACCCUAGGUCACAUAAAACUUUUGCUAUUGGCCAAUAGCCUGGCCUUUUUCAUGCUUCAGCUCCCACUCAUCUGUCUACACUAAAAUGAAAACAUGGUCCUAUCCCACAUGAUUGUCUGUCACAUUCCAGACACAUGCCGUCAUUCCUUUAUCCUCAGGGUGACACUCUGAGGCAGUAUAUUGUUAGCUUCACUUUACAGGCCAGGAAACUGAGGACAAGAGGUCAGAUCAGCUGCCCAGUGUGGACAGUAGAGGAGCAGGUGUUUGAAAUCAGAAGUAAAUGCUUGCCUGCUGGGUGCCAGAGUAGGUGCUCAAGUUAGUCCUUCAGUGAAUGUGAAGGAGACUCUUUCUCCCUUCAAAUGGGGUCUUUAAAAAAAUCCACCCUCAGCAGCCCUCAGUUCAAGAACAUAUAAGACAUUUCCAGAAAAGGGGCUGGUCCCCAGAAGGUAGCUGCCCUGAUGCUUUUCUAGCCCUCAAAGAGCAUCCUUAUUACAGUUUUCUUGAGUUGGAGACUGAUUCUAGUCUUUGGGCGGUGAGCACCAAAUCACAGGAUGCCUUGCAGACCCGAGACCUACCUGGUUCUGCCAUGUACCACUGGGUUGUCAGCAUCCCUGGGCAAUGGUCUCCCAGGGACACGACUGUAUGUGAAUAAUAGAAGCAGCUCAUUUUACAGAGGCUUGCUUGGCCCUGGGCUGAGCACAUCCUGCGGAUCUUCUAUAAUCCCAGGGUAACACUCUGUGAUGGAUGUUAUUGUUAUUCAAGCAGAGGAAACAGUCCAAGGUCACCUAAUUUGUAAAGACUGGCUCUGUGAUCCAAGGGUAUCCAGAUCCAAGGAUCCAAGGACACUCUGUGCUUACCCCGGUGGCCUUUGGGCCUUUUCCUAUGAAACCAGCAGCUCUAGGGGUCCUUGUGGCAGGGCAGAUCACCAUGCAAUGCUGGCGGCUCCUGGCUCUAACACUUUGAAUCACAGAGCCAGCCCCCAUUUUCAGCAACUUCCUGCAGACAGAUUUCUCCUUCUUUGUGGACUCUGAUGGAAAUGACACACUGCCAGGGUGUGGUGAUAGGCACAUGUCAUGCUGGGCUUACACACUGGAGGCCUCGGGAGUGUGAGGUCACUGUGCUGUGCCUGCUGCAGUGCUGUUUGCAUUGGGCAUGUGUGGGCAGUGGCUGGCACGGCUCCCUGGUGGGCACUUCAUGUGCCUGCAGCCUCAGGAGCCACCAUGAGCCCAUCAGUUCACACAGUGAAAUGUGUCAGCCAGCUUCCUGUGACUUCAAGAGACAAUGAACUUAUAAAGAGAAAAGUUUGGUUUUGGCCCACGGUUUGAGAGGUUUCAUUCCAUGAGUUGUCCCUGUUGUGGCACAUCACAGCAGGGACAUGCGGCAGAGCCAAACCACUCACCUCGUGGCAGGGAAACCAAAGAGGAAGGGGCUGCUGUUCCACUGGCUCCUUCAAGGGCACACUCCAUGACCUGAAGACCACCCUCUAGGCCCCACCUGGUGAAGUUUCCACCAUCUUCCAACAGUGCUACUUCACAGAUGAGUCCUUUAACACAGUGGCCUUUGAGGGACACUUAAGUCGCAGACUAUAGCAGUGAGCAUAGCCCCCUACAGCCGAGACACUGAUUCUGCUCCAUCCCCACCAUAAUCCUAUCAUAGAGAUUUCCACCACAAGAUGGAAGCAUGGGUUUUAAUCUGAAAACUCAGAAUAUUUGAUUGUUGGAUAAAAUUUAUUAUUAUUAUUAUUGGUACCAAGGAUUGAACUCAGGGGCACUUGACCACUGAGCCACAUCCCCCAACCCUAUUUUGUAUUUUAUUUAGAGACAGGGUCUCACUGAGUUGCUUAGUGCCUCACCUUUGCUGAGGCUGGCUUUGAACCUGCGAUCCCCCUGUCUCAGCCUCCCAAACCACUGGGAUUACAGGCGUGUGCCGCCGUGCCCAGGCAUUAUCAUUAUUACUGACUUUAUCAUUUAUUUAUUGACUUUAUCAUUAUCAUUAUUUGUGAUGCUGGGGUUUGAACCCAUGGCCUCUUGUAUGCUAGGCAAGUGGUCUACCACUGAGCUACCCCCUCAGCCCUAUGAUUAUCAUCGUAACUGGCACUGGAGAUGGAGCGCAGGCCUUAUUCAUGCGAGGCACAUGCUCUACCUCUGAAGACGCCCAACCCACCCCACUCCCCUUUUUUGGUACUGAGGCUGGCAUCGUCAGCAUGGCUGGACGGUCUCCCCCCAUGGAAGUGGGACCAGAGGCCAAUAGGGCACUGUCUAGGAGCCACAGACCGAGGAAGAGUCAGGAUGCUCAUGCGCCUGGAUGAAAUGCUGAUGGGCUUCUAUCCAUUGCCUGCUCUGAUCCUCCCCGCACACUGGGAAGGGGGCAGGAUGUGUUUCAUAUCUUCACCUGAAUUGUUUGCAGUAGCUGGCAGCUGGGUGAUCUGCCUGUGGACCUUUCAGCUGGCUGUGGCCAUCACCACUAGGACGGCAUCCUGGGUUCUACUGCAUCCCAAGUUUCCUCCUUUUGUGCUGGGGAUUAAACCUGGUUCAGUGGUGCUUUACCAUUGAGUUUCCUCCCCCAUUCUUUUAUUUGUUUGUCUGUUUUGAUACCAGGGCUUAAACACUGAGCCACAUCCCCAUCCCUUUUUUAUAUUUUAUUUUUUUAAAUUUUGAAACAGAGCCUCACUAAGUUGCCGAGUCUGGUUUUGAUUCUCCUGCCUCAGCCUCCUGAGCCGCUGGGACCUUUUUAUUUUUUAAAUUUGAGACAAGGUCUUUCUAAGUGGCUGAGGCUGGCCUCAAACUUAUAAUCCUUUUGCCUCAGCCUCCCGACUUGCUGGGAUUACAGGCAUGUGCCACCAUGCCUGGCUUGUGGGAGAGAUUUGAAAAAUAGCGAAAAAAGAAAAUGAAUCAACAUUUGGAGAUCCUGGGGGUCGGUCUUAUCCAUGAUGGAAUUGAGCUGGGGACCCCUGGUCAGGGCUGCCCACAGCAAAAACAAAUUUAGAAUCUCCAAGAAAUAUAAAUUUUGGGUAGACAACAAAUGAUUUUUUUUUUUUUUUUUGUACAACAAAACGAGUUCCAUGUGACUUUCAGAAUAGCUCACACUGAAAAAUUGCUUGUUUUUCUGCAAUUCUAAUUUAUCUGGGGCAGCUUGUAUUUGUCUGGCAGUCCUAAAGAGGGAGGGAGUUUGGACAUGGGAUGGGGUUCUGGAAAUCGGGAUGAUGAGUAAACCUAGGAGCAGUGAGAGCAGAGCACCCGUCAUUCUUCCUCCUGCCACGUGCUGGGAGCGCCUACGUCACCCACACCCGACCCUCAUGACUGGCUCUGGUCUCCAGCUCCCUGCCUGCUUCCGGCCCCUUAAUUGGAUGAAGUGUGCAGCCGGGCGCCCGAAGAGGGGAUGGUGGGGCUGCCGGGUAGGGAGGGAAAUUAACCUCAGACCCAGGAGUCGCACUGGCUGGUGAUUUAUUGAUUGCCUUGAAAUAAUAGUGAUUGAAUAAGAAGCCAGCCAGGCCAGCCGGGAGGCAGAUGACGGCUGUUCAUGGGAUUCACGAUUCACCAAUUGACCGCUUCCUCUUCCUCUUUCCUUGUGGUCUUUGAUUGUCAUUAGGUUGUUCUGCAAGAGCAUCACCCACCCUUUCCUAGACUGAGAAGAAAGUGGGGCUCACUCUGUGGGAGAGGCUAAGAACAGCAGAUUAGCCCUUGUCACCAGAACAGCAAAGUCCUGGGAACCUGGAGCCGAGUCUGGAGGACAGGCUCCCUCCCACCGCCCUGUAGGACACUGUGACUUGAGAGUUGGCACAGUGCUGGACUGUGGGCUCCAGGGCCAGGGCCUGCCCACUCACACCCCUUCACAGUUGGGUGUCCUCGGACACAUCUAGGAGGCCUCUUAAAUCAGGAGAAAAGACCUGCCUUCAGGGUAGACGUGUGGCCCUAUGGGGUAAAUGACCUUGACAGCCCUUCUCAUCUGGCCCUAGAGGUCACCUUCAAAAGUUGCAAACAACUAGCUUUAUGGAGGGACACUUUACCUGUGCAGGUUCCCCUGUGUCACCAUGACCCUGACAAGUCCCCUCGGGCCCUUCCUGGUACAUCUCUCCAGCCAGCACUGGACAGUUUGCCCAUCCCUUCAGGGGUGCCAGGGAGGGCACUUCAGGCCCUUCCUUGUCCUUUCCUCUUGGUGGUACUGGGGAUGGGGCCCAGGGCCUCCUGAUGGGGGGCAGGUCUUUCACCACUGAGCCACACCCCAGCUCCCCGUGCUGCAUUUCUGAAAGGCAGGAGUCACAUUCCUUGGAUAUGGCAAGUUGGCAACUCAGAUUGCCACCCUCCACCUCCUCCAUCUGUAGACGACAGUCCUGAGAGAGAAACUGGCUUCCCAGAGUGCAGAGGAUAAAUUGGGCACCAAACCCAGGACCUGACUAUUGCAGCACCAGGGCCUGUGGAAGGGUCACAGGCCUCUCUGUGGGAGAGAAAAACUCAAGUGAACUCAAAAACCAUGUCUUAGGAUCAUGUAUUAGUGGGACACCGUGUGCCACUGUGACUCCUUUGAAAAGCAAAUGGGCUCACAGGCCUCGGUGGAUAGAAAGGGUCUAGACAGGGGUCUGGAGAGUUCUUCUGCUGCACUUCUUUUUGGCUGUGUGACGCUGGAUUGAUGGUGAUUGUGGCAUUGUUUAGCGGUAUUUCACCCUGGAUGGGCACACACUGCUCCCCUCCCUGGAGCUCCCUACAGACCUCUCUCUGGACAUGUCUCCCACUGUGACCUGAGUCAGUGCAAGUUGGAAGCCAGGCUGUUUCCUCUGGCCCAGGGAGGGCACUUCAGGCCCUUCGCAGGGUCUUCAUGCUGUGAAGACAGGCGCUCUGGAAAGGCCUUGGAGGUGGCCCCGUCUCCCACAGCCCUCCAGAAGGAACCCUAUCAUGUGCACAGAUGUCAGACUACCCCGACACCCCUCCAGAUUCAGGGCCUGUCUGUCCUGCCAUCUGCCUGCAGGAGCAGACACACAGGCAGAGACUCGUCUCUGUUGGCCGGUGGACUCGGCUCCCCCAGGCAGGCCUGGCCCAUUUAUGUAUUUCUGGAGCUUCAACAGCACUUGGCACCAUGGCCUACACCAGUAGGCACUCGCCCGUUAAUUGAGUUGGGCUGAGUCUUCAAAGGCAAAUGAAGUGGAUUGUCUAAAUAAAAAGCUGCUCUUAGGUACGUACCCAAGAAAGGAAAAUGCAUGUCUACGAAAACCUUUUUUUUUUUUUUCUUUUAAUGUUUUGUAGUUGUAGAUGGACACGAUGCCUUUAUUUUAUUUGUUUAUUUUUAUAUGUGGUGCUGAGGAUCGAACCCAGUACCUCACACAUGCCAGGCAAGCACUCUGCCCCUGAGCUACAGCCCAGUCCCCCACAAACCUUGUACCUGAAUGUUCACAGUGGCAUUAUUUGUAAUAGCCAAAAACUGUAAAUCCAAAUGUCUAUCAACUGAUGAUGGACAAAAAAUGGUGUCUUUAUUUAACAGAAUAAUAUUCAGCCACUAAGAGGAAUGCAGUACACAUGCGUGCUGUAACAUGCAUCAAUCUUGAAAACGAGUAAAGGCAGCAAGACUCAAAGGGCCAUGUGUUGUAUGACUCUGGUAUAGGAAAUGUCCAGAAUAGCAAAUCUGUGGAGACCGGGAGCAGACCGGUGGUUGCCAGGGGAUGGAUGGGGAAGGGACAUGGGAGUGACGAUAGAUGGGUGCAGGGUUCACUUUGGGGUGACAGAAGUGUUCUGGAAUGAGAUCACAGUGAUGGUUGCCAGUUUGGGCUAAAAGGGAAAACAUGAAGUGGCCCUAAGGACUGUGACAUUGGUGGCCCCAGGCACCAUGAUGCCCCAGCCAGCUGCAAGGCGUUAUGAUAUUCCCCCGACCCUGUGAGCUCCAGCACCGGGCAUCUCCCCGACCCCCUCUAGAGAGGGGACUGAGCUUCCCUUUGGCUCAGCAGAGGCUCCAGCUUCUAGAACACAGCAGAGGAGCUGACAGCUGACUGAGGGGCAGGCCCUGGAACCUCCCACCUCGCUCUCCUUCCCGUAAAUGUGGGCCCACACCCCUCCCCCCAGCCCUGCUGCCCAGGAGCUCCAAGGACAGGCCCAGGACUAGAGCUGCCUCCUGGAGAGGGAGUCAUGGCCUUGGGCCAGCUCAUGGGCAGGGCCUUGAGCUAGUCAUCACUUGCCAACUGAUUGGCUUCUGGGAAAGGCAGGUCCAUCUGGGAAGCUGGGCUAGGCAGCAAACAGACUCACCGUGGGGCCGGAUAGUGAUAGAUGGCUGGCCCUGGUGUGCCACAGCCCACAGCGCCCCAGGGCGGCAGUAUCAGCAGCCAGAGACCUUGAUCCUUCCUAAUGGAUGUUCCUGGACUUAACAAAAGGGGCUAUGUGCUGAUAAACCUAUUGCAAAUUGAAAACAUUGUUAAGGCAAAGAUGCAUUUAGGCUACCGAACAGCCUCGCCUCGCCGUCUCUCCAGCCUUAAACAUGCUCCCACAACUCAUGUCAGCCAAAUCACCCAACACACAAAACCUAUUUUAUCAUAAAGUGUUGAAUAGCUUGUGUAAUUUACUGUAUCCACAAAAGACUGUCACACGGAAUACUGUAGGGUACCACUUGUUCCCCCGGUGAUCGUGGAGCUGACUAGGAGCUGUGGCUCACUGCCACUGCCCAGUGUCAGGAGAAAGGAUCAGAUUACACAUUGAUAGCCCAAGAAAAGACCCAGACUAUCCCUUUUAUACCAUCAUAAGUUUGAAAAUUGCUAAGUUGAAGUGUCAGAAGCUGGGGACCCUCUUCACAUGCACAUGCACAUACGUAUGGGUUCAGAUUCAUGCCCCACCCAGAGAAGGGACUUCUCACCUAAUUAGAACCCCAGACUGCACAUUUGUCCUUCUGCAUGUUCCAAGUACCUUCCCCCCUUCUCUUCCCUUCCACCCCGUGCAUUCAUCUGGGCACUGGGCUGGCCGGGCAGCAGAAGCCCAGCCGCGGGAGCAAGCAUCUGUGCCUUGACAUUUGGGGAAGGCAACCAGCGAGGCCCUUGGAAAGGCAGGGGAACCCCCUGCUUGCUUCCCUGCCCUGACAGUUUCUAAAUGUUGAGGUUCCAGACGUGAUUAGUUGGAAGAAGCAAAAGGAUUCUGUGGCUAAGAAUUACAAGUUUGGUAACCGGUGCCUUCAGGAGAGCACAGGAGGAUGGGGAGGGGCUUCCCAUUCCUUCCUUGGAUGGAAUACCAGGGGAGUCUCCAGGGCAGGAACAGGACCCAGGGUGCUUCCACUAUUCCGAGAACUUCCUCUGGCUCUUCUUGCUUCUCCUGUCUGCUGGGCCUUUUUGGAAUUGUACAUAAUGGGACCAAGGGAGUGUAGAAACCCUGCAAAGGUGGCCCUGAGGCAUAGCUGGCUGGCUGAGGCAGGAGGCAGGUGCUCCUGUGCGCUUCUCCUUCCUUGGCACUGGGGAUUCGGGAACCUGGGAACACAGAGGGGGACUUGUCCCCCCACGCCCUUGCCCUGAAUUCUCCCUGAUAAACUCCUCACACUUUGUUCCCCUUCUUUCUGCCUGUCAUGUAGGUUGGGAGAUGGGAACAGAAAACCCGCCAGCUGAGCAGGGCCUUCGGAUCCCCCUACCUGGCCUGCUACUCCCUAGGUGGCGUCAUCCUGCUCUUAAAUGUCCUGCGCUCACACUGGUAAGCCACCCAGGCUGGUCCGCCUUGUGCAGGUCACUGUCACUGUGAAAACCCAUGGCCCCAGAGUUGGAGGGCUGUGUCGGAGGGGCUGAUACGACGUGGGGACUCUUGUGUCUGAACACACAGGGAGCUCGGCUCUCCAGGGCCUCGUGCCACAGCACAGCCUCUGCCAGCAGAGGGAUCCUAGGGACCUCAGAAAGGAGACACUGUGAAUUAGUCUGUUUCAUUGUAAAGGGGUCUGGGACAUGGAGAAACGGAGGGGGACAUACCAGGUGGUCCCCAGGCUUAUAGCCCCAGAGUCCCAUCCAAGAACUGCUGGGCAGGGGGCAGAUGCCCAGGGUGGGAGCCCCAGGGGUCAGAAUCUGAC
This 58854-nucleotide long non-coding RNA is filed under the name Marmota monax (woodchuck). Lineage: Eukaryota; Metazoa; Chordata; Mammalia; Rodentia; Sciuridae. The record is from RNAcentral.